CCGCGGCGCGGGCGGCCGCCGACGACGGCCGCAGGCAGGCCGGCGCCGACGAGUCGCUCCGCAAGGCCAUGUACCUCAGCUGCUGGGGCCCCAGCUGAGAGGAUAAGGCCGUUUUGUGAAUGUGACGGGGCGGCGGAUGGGUGGGACAGGCGGUCGGUGUAGGGGCCUCGGCCUUUGCGGAUGCUCAAUGGCCGGACCGGGCCUGCUGGGGCCUUUGAUGAACUCGCGAUCGCGAGAUGCGUUGAGGGGUUCGGUGAUUUGGGAUUAACAUCUGGGAAAUUUGUGGGAUCAUCAAAAGGGUUACUGUACUGUAAUCUUGUACAUAUGCUUCCUGUAGAUAUCGAAUGGAACUAGGGAAAAAGAAAAAAAAAAUCUUUCGGCUACUUUCUCUCUGGAACUUUCGAUCGAUUAGUCAGAGCAAACGCUGUCGAGUUUGAGCGAUUAGAGCUCUCUGCCAAAGUGCCAAGUGUCCAGCGUCGAGCAACCAUGUCAAAACGAAGGGCGGGAGCGGAGUUCGUGUCGCUCCGGCCCGGGCAUCACAAAUUCACAAGGAUUUUGUAUAUAACAACUUUUUAAGUUCGUCGAUCAAUCACGUAGCCGGCAUCCUGAUGGAUCGGCACAGCAACGCGUUGAGUUGAGCCCGGCGCCGGCCGAACAGACUGCUACGAGCCCAUGACCAGGCAGCACUUCGGCGAACGCCGAUCUCGGCUUCAAACUCUGAAGUUCAGGCGGGUUCCGUUCCUACCGCAGAUAAUUUCAGGCAAGCAAGCGGCUCGAUGGACCGAUGGCCGGGCAGGGGACGGGACGUACGCGAUUACCCACACCGCACGAGGACGUCGCAGAGGUGCGCCUCCCGCCGCCCGAACAGGUCGCAGCUGCCCCAACCGUUGGCCGCACGGGUUCAGAGUUCAUCGGAGAAGUCGGCCGCACGGGCACCAACCGUUUUGGCGCAGAUCCUAAGGUCCGGUAAGGCCUGGCAACGCAGCCGCGAAUCCCCUAGUCGAUCACUCGCCGUCCUCUCCUCGAUUCGUCACCACUCACCCCGCGCGCAUCAUUCCUUCGCGAGCCGCGCGGCACCGGAGCUCGACACGGCGACAGGAUCGCACCGGGGAGAGCGAGGCAGCGAGCGCGAGGGACAUGCCGCGACAAGCGACGGAUAUGAUUGACUCGCGUCGGACAACGAUGCGGAGCUGGAGCCUGACGCGGUUGGCUUUUGGCCUGCGCCGGCUUUUUCACGUGGUGUCACGUGACGCUGGGCCACCGCGGUCGCGUCCCGGGACGGGUGGCGCGACGCGACGCGACCGAGUGACGGAAACGAAGCAUGGGCGAGAGAGAGGGCAAACGACGCGACGGGACCCCCACGCCGUGGUCUCCAGGACGCGUGCUCGCGGCCGGUGCAUGCACCGCGCGUGCGCCGUCGCUCCAGCUCCUGCAAUACGUCCGGAGAGCCAAGAGUGGGAGCAAGAUUGCAAGUCUGCAAGAGCAAGUAAGCAACUCUCACUCAGCGGCUGGCAUCAUGCGUGCCGUCAUUGGCGGAGGCCGGUGGCCGUAGCGGCUCUCCUUAUCUCCUACGUUCCUGGGCUGGCAGUGGCAGGAGUCGACGAAACUUGCGUUGGCAACGACUCCAACCGCGGCGUACGUUGAUCCGGCACACCACGUGCCCUCAAUUUAGGCGUCGUGGAGAGGGUUCUAUAGCGUGCCUACCGCCUAGCUCUAGCCGAACCGUAUACGAAUCGUUCCACAAGCUUCCAAUGCUCCACGAAGCAUAUGAUAGGAAAAGAGGGUGCAAGACCUCAGGCCUGAUGUAGUGAUGUUGUGUGGGAUCGAACCUACCUGGAAGCCUGGAUAACCAUGAUUUUUAUACGGUAUCAAAGUUAACAUGAUUCUGAAACUCCCAAUCCAUCCAACUAACGAACGAGUGAGAGAUUUUUAGAAGUAAUCUCUUCUCGUUUAUAAAGCCCAACAGGCUAUAGCCCAUGUGCUAUUUCGAAACUCCUACGCACAGCCAAGAAACACCACGUACCCAGAGAAAUAGGCCCAUAAAAGAGGUGGCACCCGCAGCCCAUUAACCACCACGCAUCGCGCGCGGAUAUGAGAAGCCCAUGCCCAUAUUCACAACAGCAGAAGAACUGAAGAAGUGACGAACAUCCUCCCAAAGAAUACCGACACUCCAACAGCCUCGACAUCAUUAGACCAUUACCUCCAAUCGCAAUAUAGUACGUGGUAGCAGUAGAGUAAAAGAAUACUGUGCUCAGGUUUGCAUCUAACCACCGUGCGAUAAUCGCCUACAAUACCCACGCCAAUCAAACGCUGCGUACAAAGAAUAUCACGCACGCCGCCGGCCGCACCACCAACGCGAGCCGUGCAUCACACAUCCACACAGCUCAGACGUUGUCGGGCAGGUCGAAGUGCUGGACGCCGAGCACCUGCAGCGCGGCGUUCUGGACGAAGAGGACAACGCCGCACUUGGCGGCGCGGAAGCCGUCCCAGAGCGGGAACUGGACGGUCCCGGACACGGACUUCUUCGCGGAGGCGCCCUCCCGCACCGCCGCCACCUUCUCCAGGCGGCGCACCACGUGGUCGUUCAGCAGCGACUUGCCCUUGUUCUCGCCGCGCCCGCAGUCCGUCACCAGCCCGCUCUCGUACAGCGCCACCAGCACGCUCGCGCCGCCGGCGCCCUCCACGCGGCUGCGCAGGGUGCCCGUGAACGACGCCUGCAGCGUCGUCGGGUUCGGCCGCUGGAACGUCGCCUGCACGUUACGUAACGUACGCGGAUCAGAUCAGAUCAGGUCGAGGUUUCAACGGUGCAUCUACAGUGACAUUGACACCGCAUCUACAGAACCCAUAUGUAUCCGGUAGAUAUGAAAUACUGUUCAUUGCAGAUCCGGCAUAAGAACAGUGGCUGAUGAGACGUUCCACAGCAACAGGCAAUCAGAUAUCCUGGUUGUCGCUUCUUAAAUUUGCAGACCGCUUUGAACACUUUCUACAUGGCAACAGGAUCGGAUGUGCAAGGAAGUUGUAAUUACAGUACCUUCAUGGCGGGCGCCGGGUAUCGCGGCGCGUCGCGGACGCCCUGCGCGAGCGCGUCCUGCUCGGUGCCGACGCAGUGCGCACGGCCCUGCACGACGACCUGCGGCGUGAAGAGCGUGUCGAGGCGGAGCGCCUCCACGUAGGCCUUCUGGCGCACGGUCCAAGCGCUGGACGCGAAGGGGUCCUUCCACCCGCUGUGGUCCCAGUAGUCCACGUGGAACGCCAGCACCACCACGGCCGGCCCGCCGCCGCCGCCUUCCUGCUGAGCCGCGGAAUCCUGCGCCAGCCGCGCCGCCACGGCGUCGGCCUCGGGCGACGCCCCGCACCCCUGCGACGCGAACAGCUCCAACAACACCGGCCCCGGGGCUACCUGCUGCUGCUGCUGCUGGUCCUCCUGCUCGUCCGGCGCCGACGCCGUCGCGCCGCCCCUCCGGCCAAAGCACGCCAGCAGCCGCGGCGCCAUCGAUGGUUGUAGGCUAGCUAGUAUCUGCCUUAGCUAGCGAGCUGCCGGCGCCGGCGGUAGUGGUGCAGCUGGCGAGGGAACGUCGUGGCGAAGGGAAUGAGGGGAGAUCAAGUGACGAGCUCGCUCGCGUGGUGGCGUGUAGCGGGCAAGUAGUAGGUGUCCCGGACGGUAUGGUGUGUGGUGGCCUGGUGGGAUAGAUGAUUGGUGGGUGGAACUGAACGUGGCGGUGGCGACGGCAACAGGACACCAGCCUGUCAGCACGCAACCCCUCUUGGUGUUGGAACUUCGCCGGCUGGCCGCCAUGUGUGUGUUCGUGCCCGCCUAACCUCCCAGCUCCAGCCUCUUCUUUACUUUGUUUUCUCGCAUUCUACCUUUUCCGCCGCAGACUUUGCAUUUCUAAAUCUGGUUUCACCGGUUCAGUGCGAUCCGUGAACAGAUUAUUCUGUGGCCAUGUUCCUUUGGGGAAUGGAAGGAGGAAGAGGAGAACCCGCUUUUGCUUUCACGAUCGGCGCGAUGCUUUGCUUGGUCCGGUGUGUUUUGUGGGCGCGGCCGCGGCGGGCACCGUGUCGGCGAGUGGUUGGAUCCGCCGCCGGGGUGGCUGUAAUUUUUUAACAUACAAACAGCAAGACCACGUUUGAGCCGCUGCUGAAUGCUAAUCAAUCAUUGCCACUAGAUUACAGUAGUAGCCAGUCGUGCGUCUAUUACGUGUAUGCUGGUUGGGGUUAGCAGACGAGCCUACAAAGUACAGACAGUGCUGUGGGUGUCGCUGAGGCCUGCUGCUUAUUUUUAAGCACCCGUUACAUCGAUGUUUACAUACUAAUUAGAAGUAUUAAACGUAGACUAUUUACAAAACCCACUACAUAAGCGGAGGCUAAACGGCGAGACGAAUCUAUUAAGCCUAAUUAGUCCAUAAUUUGACAAUGUGUUGCUACAGUAAAUAUUGGCUAAUGAUGGAUUAAUUAGGCUUAAUAGAUUCGUCUCGUCGUUUAGCCUCCACUUAUGUAAUGGGUUUUGUAAAUAGUCUACGUUUAAUACUCCUAAUUAGUAUCUAAACAUUCGAUGCGACACGUGCUAAAAAUAAGCAAACGGAAACCAAACAGCCCCUUACACGUUCGCUGAUCCUGCGUGAUCGUCACGGUGCAGUUCGUGGAGUUUUGUGUCGAUCAGAUACCGACAACGGCUGGCUUCGACACUAUGAAACUUGCGGAGACAGCGAUCGGAUUUUAAUUGGCGUGCGCUGGCGAGUGUGGCCGUGCACCUGAUCGUACAUCGACGUCCGACCUGAUGAUUGUCACCGACUCGCCGUCGGCCGAACCUGUCGGCGGCGGGCCUGGCAAAAAUUAUCGAGACUUAUCUCUGUUUUCUUCUGUGGGUUGGCUGGCAGCCUGGCGCCCGUCCGCUCUGUUAAAUGGGCCGAUUAUUAAUACCUGGGCUGGCCUGCACUGGUAAGUUAAUGGGCAGCAGGCCUGUUUAAAACUCAGUCCAACAACGCCUUUGGUUCUCGGCCUUUCUCUUUCCAGAAGCAGGUUCAUGUUGGGUCGAGAGGAAGGAACAAGGCUCAAACGAGGCCGAUUUGGGACAGCCCACAAGACUCGAAAUGGGUGGUGGUGUUCCCGAGUCAAGGGACUGAUGUUUGCAUGCUCAACGAGGCUCAUCAAGCCCACCUAACAUUCUGCGUCAGUCGUUUUGAAUUAAAGAGAGAAAAAAUGGAGCCCUCUUCCAUCCUCCACGUCUUUGGUAGCCUUCAUGCCUCUAGUUCGGGGAACCAGGGUCCGACGUCCGCAUGUAUAUACGCCUUCCUAAUAAGUAACUUUUGGGUAGGUUAGUUUGCCCAUGGCAGGGUUAGUGUUGCAUUCGGGUAUUUGUCGUUGAUGGCAUCCUCUGUGAUGAAAAUCCCCUGUCGCUUAGCAUCAAGGUACGUCUUCCAGUUCCUGAUGGAGUUGGAACUGGGUUGGUGUGUAACAGUGUAAGGAUCCUCUUCUUUAUUCUUUCAUUGCUCGUCUAUCGGAUUUUGCCAUCGUGGCGACAUGCAUCUGUUUCUGAUCUUUGUGAUGAUUUUACAGGCGCCCAUACGGUGGAACCUUCGGUAGUUCAAGUAUUCAGCCACUUGGUUGUCGUGCCACCGUUGCCCUUUCAUCAAUUGAAGCUCCUUCGUCCGCUCGGGCCUCGGGAGCUUGCUUCCAGCCUCUCCCUCGGUGCUCUACUCUGCUGCCUGCGAAGGGGAAGUGCCAAGCAGAGGCGGAUGUGCUGACCGGACAAGCAUGAGUUCGUUGAGAGGUUCACUCUGCAAGUGACCGGUUGUAAAGGUAUUGUUUUCAUAUAUAUACCCCAUCACUUAUAAAAAGAUCAAAGUUUAGGGGAUCCAACCCAAUAUUUUUUAAAAAAUAAACAGACUGGACUAGAAAGUCGUUUGCCCCCAUCACUGAUCAAAGUUUCGAGCGCGUGCACCGUGCACGUUCGUCCACUCCGUCCAAGUGGGAGUCGCCGCCGACGGGUGACGCAUGCGUAUCUGCGGAGCGCGGAAACUUUGGCCCGGGCUCCACCGCGGUUUCCACCAGCUGUACGCCGUCGUGGGACGACCGACUCCCCCCGGCCACGGCGCCGGUCCGCCGGACCCGCUGUGGCGCUGUCACAGUCCGCGGCCCACACCGUGCCGCACUUCCGCACUUGCCUCCGCCCCCGUAAUCCGCACGGUCGGUGGGCGUCGCCGAGCCCACCCGCGGACCAGCCCGAAGCCCCGAAUCAAUUCCGUUCCAGGUGCUGGCUGAGUCACCGGGUGCUUGACUUCCACGGCUUCGGAGCACACGCGGCGGGGCCUCUGAAUUCGCAGCUUCAACGAAGACAGCGUCAUUAGUCCUCGCAUUGCCAAUGCCAACGUUUCCGUCUGAUCCAGUGUUGACGAAACCCAGCUCCGGGCACAUCCAAAAGCGGCGUAAACCUGUGCCUAUCCGAUGGAAGAUCGAGGAAAUUCGUGCGCAGCCGGCUUUGAAUUUUGUUGCGCUCAUUCUCGCUCAAGCCAGACAUGCAUCAUGUGCUGGCACGUCUGCAUGCAACCUAGCCAGCCUCCUACACUGUGGGGGUCGUUGCUGAUCCGUCCCAUGCGUGUACCACAUGCGUGCACCGCUGUGCUGCUGCUGUCCUAGGCCGUUGCAGGGGAGUCAGCUCCAGCGCGCGCCAACGCGCGCACCGUCCGUCCUGCAGCUCCAUUGGGGCUAGCUUGGAAGGCACACCAAAGGCCAGGUCACGAACCCGUGAUGUGUGUGGAUAUGGUAGCACGUAGCAGCGAUACGCUGACGGAACGGGCCCGUCGCCGCCCAACGAUGAGAGCGAUCGUGAACGCGAGCGAAACGCGCGGCCGGUGGCGCGUCCCCGAAUCGGAUCCUGUCACGUGUGGCAUGCGCGCGUACCCGGAAGGAAACUGGUGGCGGUAGCUGGUAGAUGCUGCCUGCUGGCCACGGCCGGGAUCGAUCACUUUACACGUCCGCCGGGAGAGAAAACAAAGGGUUAUCCACAAAUUUAUCCGGAUCACAUUUGCGUAAUCCGGCGCAGCAGCGCCGAGCCAACAACCACCUUUCGGGCUUGCCGAUGGAUCAGAUUAUUUUACGGGGGUGGACUGGUGCAGCGGAUUCGCAGGUUUUUCCUGGAAAAAGUUGUCGCGCACAUCGCGGCCGCGUGCGCGCAAUUAAUAAUCCGCGCUAAUCUAAUCCAGAACGGCCGGGGCGACGCACAUCGCUUUCCCGCUACGACGAGCCCGUGACGCUAGCACGUCGCGGUCGCUCGAAAUCGCCCGCUAGUCAUAUGAUCUCGCGGGCCUAGCUAGCUCUCGAGCUGGAUCUGGUCUGGUGGUGUUCUCUAUGGGGUCGUAAUUGCGUUGGGCUUCUUUCGAUCCGCUCUCGCCCGCUUUUCCGGAUCGAACACGUGGGAACUGAGGAAAAGCGCCUGGGCCCCGGAUGAGACCGAAUCAGGCGUGGAUAAGACGACAGAUUAGCAGUAGUAGCAGAGCAUGGAUGAGGGAUCGCCGAGUUGGUGGCUCCAUUUGCCUGCCUUUGUAUUUACUUCCGCCACGCUCUUCUUGUUCCUGAUUCUGUGAUGUAGCACUGCUUCUGUCGUGGAUAAGACGGAGACGCGCUCUUUUUCGACAAUGUUUUGUGGGUUAGGACGUGCUCGGUGUGUGUGGUUACAAAGAAAACGAUGGAUAAAGAUCCUGAAUGAGGUUGUCAGCAUGGUUAAUUGCCACAAUAAACACACGCUAGUGGCGCCACAUGAAUUUCCUUGAAAUUUUUACCGCAUUAUGUUCCUGUUCGUUGCGCACAAUAGCAUGCAGAAUGGGAAAACCAAGCCACGCCAUCCUUUGAGGCCACCAGCUUAUAUUUGUUAGCUCGUUGUUUAGGCGGGGUAGAAGAGUAUUCUCUAGCUUGGUAAUUGGUAUCUUUUUUCGUGGUUUGUGUUCACCCGCCGGAUUUGCAUGACAAGCCAAGCAGAGUAAUAUGCAUUUCUUAAACGGGAAACUGAAAUUUUUAGAGCGCGUUCAUUGCAGAUAACGUUCAGGCAAGAUUAAAGUGUAAGCGUUCAAGAUCUUAUUUGGAUCCAUCCAUCCAAAAUUUAGCUAGCUGAAUUUAUGGAUGUUUGGAUCCAUCAUCUUAAUAAUUAUUAAAGAGAUAUUUGUUUAUCCUGUACUGCAAUUCUGGUAACAAAGUAAAGGACCCGUCAAACUUGCCUGGCCUGCACGGCGGCCGGUCGACGGUGUCGAUUUGCUUGCGUCUAUUUCUUUUUGAUCGGUUGUAGAUGUGCUCUGUUAAUUGGAUGUUCCAGGGGUUUGGAUGGGAAUUUGGUUUGCUGGUUCGGAUUGAAAUAAAUAGUGUCUGGUGUAUGUAGAAGCGUCAGCGCGGCAUUCUCUUUCAGAACCAUCGCCGCUCUAGACCAGAGAGAGGGACGAGGAAGUCUCUGGACAAUGUUGCUAACUGACGGGCCUGUUCUGACCGUGCGAUUAAUUAAGGAUAGUGAAUGGACGACGCAGAUCAGUAGUCGACGUGGCACAAUGGGCGCUCGAGAAAGGCCCAAUUGCCUGACCGAGAUUCGUCUAUUAGAGAUCGUACGUCUUAGUCUACAAGCAUGGUUAACCUGCUCUUUUGGAUGAUCGAAAUGGCUCACCAACGUCGUCGACCUGGCGCAGGUUCUAGAAGACAGCUUGCGGAUCUGUCAACAACAGGCACAGCUAGUAGUUGAGGGCUUCAGGCAGUGGAUAACGCAUAAAGCACAGCGUAGUAGUCCGGGCGUACGCCUAGUCCUACCUGACGGAGCCGGUGGUUCGGCCGCGUGUCAGCGUGCCGUGGUAGCGCGGCAGAGCCGGCGCGGAGGCUGACGGCGUGAGGUGGCGUUCAUGAUGCUGACGGCGUCGUUAUCCCAUCCAUCCAAUUCUAAUAAGCAGGGUGCUUCAGAGAUUCAUCGAACACGACACCCCCAGGAUUAGCCCUGUUAAUUGGGUUGGGUUUAUUGGUUUUAAUGGUUUGGUUUAUAUAAUAAGUUCAUUUGAAUUGGUUUAUAAUGAGUUGGCCUGCUAGAUGGUUUGGUUUGGUUUGGGUUUUACAAAUAAAUAGUUUGGAAGGUGUUUGGGGUGUGUGGUAUUAUUUUUGGAUCUAAAAGACUCUCAACCCGUGGGUUGAGACCCAUUAAGAACCCAAAAGCCUGGAGCCUCAUCUAUCAAGAGUCGGACCCUAAAAAUAAAACCUCACGUUCACACCUUAAAAUUUUGGAUAAAUUGAUCGAAACUUGUUACAGAUGAAUUAGUUUAACAGUCCGCUACUGUAUGCAAAGCAGUACGGCUGGACUUACAUGUGGGGCCCGCGUCAAGAGUCGGACCCUAAAACUAAAACCUCGUGUUCACACCUUAAAAUUUUGGAUGAAUUGACCGAAACUUGUUGCAGAUGAAUUAGCUUGACAGUCCGCUACUUUGUGCAAAGUAGUAUGGCUAGACUUACAUGUGGGCCCCACGUUGAGAGUCACAUACAAACUCAAAAAAAAAAGUUAACUAAUGGGUUUUUAUUGGGUACCUAAUGGGUUCUUAUUGGGUUGUAACCAUAUUUGGCAAGUAAUUUGUAUAACUUAUGCAAUAGUAAGUUUGGGGUGGUGUGGUGUGUGAUAGUGGAGGUUUGGUUUAGGGUGGGUUAUAUUUAUUUUCUUAUGAGAAUAGAUUGGUGUGGUUACAACAUGGGUUACAACCCAAUUAACAGGGUGACCCAGGAUCCACGUGAUGCCACACAAAAAUGGAGAAAGAGAAAGGAAAGAGGAGAAGAAACAAGGGCUCGCGUUCGAUCAUUCAUGUUCUGAUGCUCGUUGGCCUUCCGCAGAUUCUUCGCCAGCUGAAGGCAAAUCGUAGGCAGCUCCGUGACUGAUUCUCGGAUACCGCGGUGCAUUUUCGUCGCCUCAUAAUCUACUUAAGCGCGAACGAUUUCUGAAGAAAUUUUCAUCGCCCAGCGAAAAGAUUUUUCCAGAGAGUACAAGGUGGGUACACGCCAAAAGCCAUUGCGCUGCUAAACGGGCACAUGAUCAGCCGACAAAGGCACACCAGCUUGUUGCCGCCAUAUGGCUGAUUUUGAAAUCGCCCGCAUGUUUAAACGAAUAGAUUUUGCAGCCCUGGAAUUCCAGAACUCUCAUUUUAAAAUCUCAUGCUCGCUGAUCUUGAUCACCGUGUGAAAUCAAUCAAAACACCGCAUUUUUUUAAAAAAAAAUCUUUUGGACAUGCAAACGUGCCAACUUUAAUUGCUGUGGAUCAGAAAGUCAGUACUCAGUACCCUGUAGUCAGCAAGAGUCCAUGCGCACGGAGAAAGGCAGAGUUUUAAUUUGCAACUUGCAUUCAUAUACUUCGAUUUGAUCCAAUCCAUACCCCACAAAGAAAAAAGAAGACAGGGGACGAAGACCAGUUGACUGUUCGUCAUCAUCCAGUCAUCCUACCUACUGCGAUGAUUAUAAUACGGUGAAUCUUAAACCAUUUUAAAUUUCCCGCUAAACCCGAAGAAUAAAGCCGUAUGAGUAAAUUAUUGCCCGGCCGACACCGUCAGCAGCGAGCGACGUCCCAGGCGUCACGGGCUACUGCAUGCCGGCGAGCUUGCCGUUGCCGUUGGCACCGCCGCGCAUCUCGAGGUCGGCGCCGACGUGCACGUCCUCGUCGCGGAUGAAGCGGCCCCAGUACCAGUGGUUCUUCCACACGAGCACCAUUUCCUCGAUGGGCACGUUCUUGGUCUCCGGCAGGAAGAGCGCGACGAAGAUGGUCAUGACCACCACCCAGGCGCCGAAGAAGAAGAAGAGGAUGAACUUGAAGCGGCAGAGCAUGGGGAGGAACGCCUGCGCGAUGAUGAAGGUGCAGAGCAUGUUGACGGACACGUUGAUGCUCUGCCCCGCCGACCGGAUCUCCAGCGGGAAGAUCUCGCUGGGCACCAGCCACCCGAGGGGUCCCCAUGACCAGGCGAACCCGGCCACGUAGGCGCAGAUGAAGAGCACCACGAUGGCGGCGUACGCCUUGGGGAUCUCCGCCACGCCGGAGAACCCGAACUUGGCGCCGAUCAGGCUACCGACGACGAUCUGGCAGGCGAGCAUCUGGGUCCCGCCCUGCAGGAACAGCUUGCGGCGGCCGAGGCGGUCCACGGUGACGAUGGAGACGAAGGUGGCGAAGACGUUGACGAGCCCCGUGAUGACGGCGGACAUGAGGGAGGCGUCGUCUGCGAAGCCCAGCGUCUUGAAGAGCACCGGUGCGUAGAACAUGAUGACGUUGAUGCCGGUGAGCUGCUGGAACAUGGGGAUGGCGAUGGCCAUGACGAGCUGCGGCCGGUAGCGCGGCUGCAGGAUAUUCCGCCACGGGUGCGCCACGAGCUUGGACUCCUCGCUGGCGGCGACAAGGUCGUUGUACUCCUCCUCCACGUCCUCCGUGCCGCGCACGCGCUUGAGCAUCCGCUUGGCGGCGUCGGUGUAGCCGCGGUCGAUGAGGGAGUUGGGGGUGUCGGGCAAGAACAGCGCGCCGAUGGCGAUGAUGGCCGCCGGCACCGCCGCCAGGGCCAGGCUCACGCGCCACCCCCAGCCGCCCUUGAUCUUGGCGGUGCCGUAGUUGAUGAGGUUGGCGCACAGGAUGCCGAUGGUGAUCAUGAGCUGGAACCCGAUGUUGAGCAUCCCACGGAGGCGCGCGGGGGCCAUCUCCGACAGGUACACCGGCACGGCCUGGUUGGCGAAGCCGACGCCGAUGCCGAGGAGGACGCGGCCGAGGAUGAGCAUGACGACGUCCUUGGCGGCGCCGUUGAGGGCCGCGCCGAUGAGGAACGUGACGCCGCCGCCGAACAUGGACCACUUGCGCCCGGCCACUCGCGUCACCGUGGCGGCGAAGAAGGAGGCCACCAACGCGGCGAGGUAGAGCGAGGAGGUGAACAUGGUCAGCAGCUGGCUGUCGAACUUGCAGUACUGGUUGGUCUGGUUCCGCUCCGCCUCCUGCUCCUUGCGGUACACCGACGGGAAGAACUUCAUCAGGAACGGGUUCAUCGACGUCACGCCACCUGAUCAUCACGAACAAACGUCAGUUUUUUUUUGCUUUGCCACUGAUUUUUUGCUUCUAAGACUAUUCUAAUUUUCUGAAGGAAUGAUCUGAGGUGAUGUUUUUUGUUUAUUUGGAAAAAAGAAGGCUAGGUGAUGCAUGGAAAGAUUCUUCUUGGCUUUGCGAAAGAAUCUGGGAAACCAAAUAAAGAAAAGGCGGGGGAAUAUCGCAGUUUUGUUUGUAUGUGUAAAAUCAUGCGUCGGGUCUCCCGACAGCACGGUAGGUGAACUGCGCCCGAGAAAAUACCCUGAUUUGCAAGAACAGAGCAGCGUGCGAGAUGCAAACAGAGAGUGUGUUUUCUCUCUCUUUCUAAUCAUAGCCAUGAUUUUUUUUUUGAAAAAGAUCAGGAACAGAAGAACAUCGCAGAGGGACGGGAUGCGUAGCUUACCAGAGAUGCCGAUGUCAUAUCCGAAGAUGAGGCCGCCGGUGGCGGCGACGAUGCAGGCGAAGAGCACGAACAUGGUGAGCUUGCCGGGGUAGUCCUUGCCCCCUCCGGUGUUCACCACCACGCCGCCGGCCAUGGCGACUGCCCAAUACUCAAACCACAAACACACAAAGCUUUCGCCUCACACGAUCACAGGCUAGCUCCACACAGAAGACUUCACGAAAGGCCUAUGCCAAGAGGAAAAGAAUGGAAGUGCUCGUGAGCGCCCGGAGAAGAUGGGAACGUCUGCGAGUUCAGAGGCGAACGGAGGCAGCGUUGAUUGUUGAGACGGGGGAGGAGCGGGCGGGCAUUUAUAGGCGGGGCGAGGGGCCUCCAUGUGAAUGGGCGACGAGCUGGAGGGUGAGACUGCCAGGGUGGGGCCAACGCUCCCUCCCGCCCGCGCUUGUUUUUCCGUUCAUUAAUUGUGGCCGUGGAUAAAUCUUUAUCCCAGCUACCGGCCCCACCACCCCCGCUUCUUCCUUCCUGGAAAGACCCAGCGGCCAUUAAUGUGAACACGGCGCCGGUGCAGGCGCGCCAGCUGCUUUCCGCUCCCGGCGACGGCGGGGAGGAGGGUCGCCGUUCGCCGCCGUCCACCGCGAGAACGCGUGCGUGUACACGCUCGAGAUGGGCUGGCGGUGUUAUCCGUUCCGUUCCCGUUUUCGCUGCGAAAUGUAAACGUGCAGUGGAUAACGGCAUUAUUAGGUUCGAGGGUAGAAGAACAGUUAGCGGGGGGAUCUCCUGCUGUGCUGUGUCUGGAUUUCUGGAGUCACACCUGCUGAUGACUCGGCGACAGGUCAUGCAGGCUCCAUGCGUAGCGUAGCAGCGUUAAUGGCGAAUCCGAUUCUUGCUGAUCAAGUUCCUCGAUUGUGGUUUAAUUUGGCAGGGUGGGUAGGUGCAUGCCGUUGCCUUCCUCAUGGGAGGUGAGGUACGCUUGCUGACGUGGAACCGGCUGUGCAAGUGUUGAGCACAUGUGGAUGGGUCAACGGCUCAACGCUGGUCCAAAUUAAAACAGAUGAAACUGAUUAACCAGGCUGCGGCAUGGCAAAUUUGCGCAAAGAAAGAACCGAAUAAAAGGGUUCAGUUUUCUCUUAGGUUAUGGGUCUUGAUCUAAACGAUGAUGUAGAUUCUUAGGUUAACCAUCAUAACUCGACGAAAUCAGAUAAUGGAAUGCGGCGUUUUAUGAUCAAGCCGUGACAUGCUAUGCUGACCCACAAGAUCCAAAGUGCGCAACUUGGCUGCAUUCACCGAACACAUGCUCGCUCGGCGGCCACGGAAGUUGGGACUUGGACGGAAUGAUGGAGGCAUUGUUUAACACAAGCGCGAGCACGUCGCAGUCAUCGUGGGCGAACAGUGCCCCGGGACUGGCUCGGCCGGUCGGCUGCGUACCCGUCGGACAGCUAAUCUGCUAGCUCGGACGACCAUGGCCUCAUCUACUAUCUCCUUGGUCCGGCGCCGACCGGUGCGCCAGCACGUAUAUACUAGUACAGAAAAGCCAUCGAGCCAGACACGGCGAACCGCCGCCAACGGCGUUUUCUCCGAUCCGGGCACAUGUUAGGAACGAUCUGCCUGAGAUAUUUCUCCUUUUCGUACUGGCUCCCGCCGCCGUGGUGGUGUGCGUGCGUGGCGUCGUCACGCCACCACAUUACUGCGUUCUCGUCGCUGGAGUCGGCGGCUUCCGGCGGAGUCAAAGGAGGGUGCGGCAGAGGCGCGCGGGCGCUCGGGGCUAGCUGGCCGGACCGCGCCGGGAGCCGGUGCGGGCAAAGCUAGGCCGCAGGUGUGGGAUCGCUGGGAUACGCUAGCUUGCAGCCAUGUCGACGUCGCCGCAUCGCGGACGCGACAAGGACGCCUCCCAUUUGUACCGGUCCCGUCCGGCCUGUAGCCCGGUAGCAUGCGUGAGUAAUGCCAAGCGCCGGUCACGAUCCUAGGCUCACUAAUGGCUUGCUGGGUAAUGGCAAGCUAACUGCUAUAAUUUGGUCAAAGGGAUGCCGAUCUCGACGGUCGGAGCAAGCUAGCCUGGUCCACGGAACUACGGCGCCCAUGUCGGUCUCUGUGGGAACUAGGAAGGGCAUGCCAGUAGGAGUGCAGGAGGCAACCGCAAGUACACAAGGCUAAGAAGAAGCUAAGCACAUGGGACGGGACGGGGAAGGCGGAAGGCAGGCCUGCGAUCCGAGUCAACGAUCGACUGGGAUACGCGAAGAAGACGGGCCAGCCAUGCCAUGGUUCCGAGCAAGAGGGGGGAGGGAGAGGCCGAUGCGCGUGCGUCACCGCGACGACGAGAGCGAAGCCAGCGGACGGGUCCGGCGACCGGCGCUGAGGUCAAGCCCACCCCAAGACGUGUGCCUGUCAGUGUGGACGCAGCAGCUCCCGCAUGUGCCGCUCGUUCUCGCGCCUCGCCAGUCAAUGCCAACCAGCCGGGUCAACCACUGCUGCUGCCAGUCGACUGCGAGUCCUUGCUGGGCUUUCACUGUUGCCGGGAUAAGACCCCGCUGAGAUUUGACUUGAUUGAUACUCCUACGAUGCUGCUGCCCAACCCAAGUCGGCUGGCAAGAGCCCAAAAAAUGUGCGGAUUGGGAUCGUACUGUGGUCCGUGGUGACCUUUUGUGGAAAGUGGGACCCUACAAGCAGCCUCGUUUGAAAAAGUCUCGUAGGAGGAAGAGUCCUAGACUGCGGUCCACCAAUCAACAUCCAGCAAAACCCAAGAAUAUUCAGACUAGCAGACAAAAGAAAGAGCUGCUGCAACUUUGCAUGGCGUGGUGCGUUGCAUACUUGCACACCACCGUUUGUCAACAGUACAGUUUUUCGACUUUUCGUUCGGCAUGGGCCUACGGUGUGUAAUCUACACGUUGUCAUGUUUGAAUACUGUUACGAUGCACUCAUCGAAAUCCGAAAACAAACUACUACUGCUUUUGUACUAAAAUAUGUAAUCUGCUUCUUCCAACUGCCCAAAGUCCAAAACAAUAUGCUAAAUGACUAAAGCACGUCCUAAGAAACUGAGCUGCGCGAGUGCAAGUAGCAGCAGCAGCAGAUGAACAAUGUGCCGCUACCAGUAAAGCCCGAGUUCUAAAACCCUGAGCCAUACGUGGAAAGCUCAGCGGCGGCGGUUCUCGCGCCAUUUCUUCGUUCAAGGCGUGCAGGAAAGCAUGCUGCUCCGUCCAUCAAGUGCCAAAGGUUAGUGAAAAAGCGUGCGUUCAGGUUUAAUUUGAGACUUCAACUGUCGUUUUGUUCUGUUCCUAGUUCUUACCGCCAAGAAGACCACACGCGCUAUGACCUGACCUGUGAGAUGUUUACAGUUGACGCCGUAUCCGUAUCCGUAGUCAAUUACAGUGACACGCAAGACCACCAGAGCUACCUACAUGAGGACGAUGUAAUUUUCUUCCUUGAGCGCAGGAUAUUUUCAAGGUCAAUGCUGCUGGGUAGUAACGUAGCCCACGAGGCCGCCCCGCUUAAUUGCCGCUCGUGGCCGUUGCGGCCGAGCUGCAAUAACCACGCGGAUUAAACAAUCUUCGCCUGCUAAGCCCACAAAACAAUAUUGCAUACCCGCGAAAACCCGCAAGGACCCACUUCAUGACAACGCCCAUCUCCUUUCUUUUGCUCGCCACGGUGCUGCCCGGCGCCGCCGGACGAUGGUCACCGGAGGGUGAGCAUAACGAGGAAGCCGAGGAACGUCGCCGCGCCGACGCCGGAUCAGCUGAAGACGAUAAGCUGUGCCAUGCACUCGCGCGACCGCCGGAGUUUAUCGUAGCUCCUCGGGACUACGCCGGAGCAGCAGAGCACGAUGACGCCGCCGCCUUCGCCGCCCUCUGCUUGCAGGCUCACCUCUCGCACGUGGCCACGCCGAUCGUCGCACGUGAUGGUGGUCUAGACGGCCACGACGCCAGCGCCGGCGCCGGCGCCGGUGCCGAGCACGAGAGCGUCGACGCGGAACGGGGCGCCCAGGAACCUGCCAGACGAUGCGCAACAUGAUGCAGGCUCCACCUCUCGUCGCCAUCGACCCUGCCAGCAACGCCUCCGAUGGCACCAACGUCCACCUCAAAGAGAGCCAGCAGGCCUUGUGACUAGCGCUGAUGAUUCUUUCGGACGCUCGCGGGGUUUGCGGACACAGCCACCAGGCCCACUAACCAAGCACACUAAUUCCCAUGCGGGUUAGCGGCUUCUCGUGAUUGAUUGAAAAUGCUUUGCGGGCUAACGCAUGUGGGUUGUGGCUGUCCACAACCCGCCCCGCCUGCAUCCCUACUGCUGGGCACUCGAUCACGGUCUCACCGGUUGGUCUCACGGGCUACCUCAACCAGUUAAGUCUGUCAAUUUUCACUGUCACAUUCAACCAGCUGGUAAAGCAGGUUUAUCCAGCAGGAAUAUUCAUCGUCAGUGAGCAUAAGAUAUGUGAAUGCACGGCAUGCGGCGUGCAUAUCUCUUUCACUCACGUCGCUGCACGCAAAGGCCUAGACGCGCGUGUGGCUGGUCGAGCCGCCGGGCAAUAUUCUACAAGUCAAGCAGAUUCCUUUUUCAUCACAUCAACGAGUGGCCCCGCCAGUAAUCGUACCUACCAGCAGCCACUAUUCUACUUACAAGUUAACCGAUGGAAUCGAUUGACAUGUGCAACACGGGUGUGCACAAUUAAGAUGGCCAGAUGGGCCUUAAUUACUACUACUAGUAGCAGUAGAUUAACACCAAACUACAGUGUAUAUUAUUCGAUCCUCGUCGUACUUAAUAUUUGCUUCACGUACCCUGCAAAUAGCAAAAUGUUUUCCUUUUCCCUUCAUUUCAUCCCAAUCUUAAGCAAGUGCAUUUCGUCGACCGAUAGUAGACACGUGCGACCUGUCUGUUUUUUUCCCCCCUGAAGUCCCUGAUCGGCUGAUCUCAUUAUCAAAUCACUGAAAUCAGAGAGGGGGGUCGCAUUCUCUUUUGCGGAUGGAGCACAAACUGGCGGGCUGUAUUCUUUGGUCAUUUACUCGUUCAGUUUCCAAACGCUAAUGCCGUCCGAGUCACGUGCAAUCAUGUGCGGAUUCUGGUCUACAUUCUUCCGAGAAUGACACCCAGUUUGCCCACACGCAGUCACGUGCAAAUAAAAAGGGCCGGAAUGGAUUCUAGGAAUUUGAGGCCACGAGCUUGGUGCCUGUAGUGAGUGGCUCACUGGCUCGUCAGCUAUCACCGUUUUCCACGGGUGCCCGCCCUCUCGCCUGUGAUUUGAUUUUGGAAUCCCAAGUGAUGGGCACUAGCGAUUUGUGGAUCGUGCCCGUCGCCCGUGCGCUGAGAUUGUGUGGGGGUAUGCAGGAAACGUGGCAAGCAGAGGCACCGAGAUGACUCGGAGCGAGGCGGACGUCCGCUUCAGUUUUGAUCAUACAGAGUUGCAGACCGGGCGAAAGUUGGAGUAGCGACGCAUUCUGUGAGGGUUCUGCUCGUGAGUCGUGAUACGGUAGCAGAGGUGCUGGCAAACUAGAUAAGAUAGUGUACAAAGAAAGGAAGGGGAGAGCAAAGUGAACUCAGAUCUCAAAUUGCAAAGCUGAAUGUUCAGAUCAGAGAUGUGAAGCGCAGCAGCUUGAGAAUUUCCGGUAAUGUAGCUGAAGAAAAAUACUGAGCUUAAGCUGUUUGAAAUGAUAGUUUAUGGCCCAUCGAUGUGCUGGGCCUGAGCGCCUUCACGCGCGCGCGAGAGGACCAAUCCCUUCAUGGGCUUUUGUCGGUCUAGAUCAGCCCAAAUCUUUCACGCUCAUGAUGGACUGGAUCACCACCUACAACACCGGAGGAAGAUGAAGCCCAAAAAUUCGUCACAUACAGGUGUACCCUGAACCGGACGGCCCGGGCGCGGCACGGCGGCAUCACAGGACCGUUGCGCGGCGGCCAGCUGCGGCAAAACAAAAAAAAGAGAUGCGUCUGCCGGGAGUCGAACCCGGGUCUAUUGCUUGGAAGGCAAUUAUCCUAACCGUUGGACUACAAACGCCUUGUUGAGGUAAAGGUUAAGAUUAAAAAUAAUAGAGAACAGACACAUGAGAGCAUGUAUAUUAGGCACCUUCUUUCCCUUUUCCUUUGAUAUGUUUUCAUUUCUGUACCUUUUUCCCCGACUCCCAGUGUUAAUUGAGAACCUCUAGAACACAAAGUCCCUGGACCCUAUGCUGUUAGUCAGCAAAGCUUUUAGGUCUCUGUUGACAGGGCUCAGCUUUUCUAUAGGUGGUCAACUUCAACAAGAAAAAGUCGGAAAGAAAGCAGCGUCAGAGUAACAUAAUCUCUGGAUGAUGUAGUAGCCAACCUAACCCAACAAUCAUCUCACGGUCUUCCAGAAAUCCGGAACUACUUUUAAGCGUUGACGUUCCAGAACAAAAAGCUCUUGAUUGCUGCAGAACGGCGCCUCCCCUCCCUCAACUGCCUCGGACUUGGAGACAGACACCUUGCACAUCACAGGGGCCAAUGCCACUACGAAGCUGAUGGUGCGACCAAUUGUAAGGUUGGCCGGUGUUGGAAACUGGAGAUCAAAAUAAAACAGAGGGAAUUGCUUGUUGGGCAGACGUUUUCAUGUGCUCACUGCUCAGUGAAUGGCUGCUGGAAAAGGCAGCUCGCCUGACUCUGACUCAGUGAUGACCGGGGAACAAACUACCGAACCUGCCCGUCGAAAAGAAACCAUUCCUGUCUGAAUAAACGACCCGUGUCUGGAGAUGCGCUGUCCAACGUCUCUGACUGAAGCUUCUCACGACAGGUACGUGUAGCCGGAACUGCCAUCUCGGCUCAUACCUCUGAAGUCAUGCUGAGUUGCUAGCUGCUCAAACAUCUUGUCUGAAACUUGAAGCAAGCGAAUGCUCCUCCUCAUCGAACAAGGACUGACCUGACUGUUCGGCUCAGAGGGGGACAGGAAACUAGAAAAGCAGCCAUCAAGCUGAUGCCAAUGUUGCGUGUCUCCUUCAGCCAGUUAUUGGUCAUUUCAGGCUCUCGACAGCGAGGCUUGAGCAACGGAAGCACGGACGGUCGAUCGGGGGCUCGGGGCAGGUCUACGCGCCAAUGCCUCGGCAUUGUGACGCUGGAAAUUUCACUGGUCCAGGUCUCAGAUUCAGCCACACGGUACUGAAUCCAAACUACUGGUGUAGCACAUAAAGUCGUGUAUUGUUCAUGUUCAAUGACCGUGCUUCUGCAUCGACAUUGCAGAUUUACAGUAUCUUCCACGACCAGUCAGAGAGUUUUAUUGCCCUGCUUUGACUCGAUAGUACAAUCUUCAGAAACACCUGCAGAUGCUGCAGCACGCGAGAUAAACGCACAGUUACAUUUACAUCCUGCAAAAGGUCUGCAGACACAGCAGCAAUGGAUCGAGUGCGUCAGAGAAGACGACCAGUCGCCAAUAGAUCCGCAGCUCUGCGUGCAAUAAGUGUGUCCACAUGGAUGGAUCGAGGUAAAGAAGACGGCGACUUAUUGCGAUCGCGAGAGCUAGCUUGAGCCCAUGAUCGCAGCUCGUCGGCAGGCAGGCACGCAGUACCCGCACUGUACCGCGAGAGAUCAUAACGCGAAGGCGACCCUACCGCGCGAUCGCGAAAGCUCAGAUCGAUUUGCCAUUUUGCUGCUGAAUGAUUGGUUUCCAUCACUCAUUUGGGCCAUGGUCCACGCCGCCCACCUUUCUGUCAAAGAUGAAUGUGCCCAGCGGCAAGAAGGAAAACAUCCGAUGCACAGGUAAAAGUGUGCGAUUUUCUGAUGCUGAUGCAGUCACUGGGUGGAUGGAUUAGUUGUUGAAUGGACUCGCACUUUUAUUUGACAGUGAUGAGUGAUAUACACAUGGGGUGACAAAUCACUGGGUGAUUCAUUCUUUGAUUCCUUCACAGCAACAAAAGAUGCAAGGAACAUGUGUGUUAGCUAGAGGUACAGUACUAGUAAGUGACAGCUAGUUCUUGUCGCCAAGGAUUACAGGCUCCAGAUGCCAUGGAAAAUACUCCUCAGCUUGCUCCCGCCAAGCUUCUUCACGAUCCGUUUGGCGUCCGGGACAUUAGUCUCCGCGAGCUUCUCGAGAUUCCUGCCAUGGAAACAUAACAAACAGAUCGUGAGAAUUUCUAGUGAGAUGAGAUGUGAUGAACAAAAACACAUAACGAUUAGUCAGUGAUUGACAGGUGGUGUCUGUACCUGACGUGCUCCGAGGACAUGAUCUUCCUCCGGCCGGAGCUGCUGUCCGUGAGGUGCAUCAGCGUCGACAGCAGCAACCGCUUCGCCGGCGUGGGCUUCUCCUCUUCGGGGCCCAGUAGCUGCAGCACCUGCGCCACGUUGCGGUCAUCCUGGACGAACCGCUUCCGGUUGCGGUGCACGGACACCAUGGCGCAGAGCGUGUCCGCCGCCAUCUCCCGCGCCUCCGGGGACUUGGCCGCGCGGAGGACGCUCACCAUCUCCGGCAUGAACCCAGCGUCCCCCAUCGCCUUCCUGAUCUCCUCGGACACCUGGCACAGGCGGUGCGCCGCCUUGAGGGCGCAAUGCUGCAGCGUGGUGUCGCCGUUGCGUAGCAGGGAGAGGACGCGGUCCAGGAACCCGGCGGCGAGGAGCCGGUCCGUGGAGGUCGGCGGCGAGAGACAGAUCGCGUCGAUGGCGCGGAGGGCGACCUCGCGCGCCUUCGAGGAGCGCGUCGGGGAGGACGGGUCGAGCGCGCGGACGAGGGACUCGACGGCGCCUUCCUGAAUGACGGCCUCCCUGGCGGAGCUGUCCCCGGAGGCGAUGGCGGCGAGGAGCUCCAUCGCCUGGAUCCGCGCCGCGUCGUCCGUGGCGGCGCCCUGCGAGAGCGACACGAGCGCCGGCACGGCGCCGGCGUCGGCCACCAUGUACUUCCUGAUCUCGUCCACGCCUGCGAGGCUCCGCAGCACCCGGCACGCCGCGCACACGAGCUCGCCGCCGCGCGCGCCGUGGUCCGUGCACACGUUGAGCAGCGCCGUGACGCCACCGUGCGCGGCGACGGCCCAGGCAUUAUCCGAGUUCUCGGUGAGCCUGCAGAGCACCCGCGCCGCGCGCUCCUUGGCCGCCGCGGUGCUGCCGGCGCCCGCGUCGAGGACCCGGACCACGGGGGCGAUGACGCCGCCGACGACCAGGUCGCCCCUGUGCGCGUCGGACCCGGCGAUCACCGAGACCGCCUCCAGGGCCUCCUCCUGGACGCGCGGGUCGGGGCACUCGAGCAGCGAGACAAGGACCCCGACGCCGUCCGGGACGUCGGAGGCCACGACGCGGACGCACUUCUCGUCGUCGCGCAGAGCCUCGCCGAGCGCGGCGGCGGCCUCCCUCCGCAUCUCGGCGCCGCCGGCCCGGAGCCUGGCGAAGAGGUCCCGCACGUAGAACCGCACGUCAUCGCGGGUGGCGCCGGCGCCGGGGCGUGGCACCACCAGCGCCCGCGCCCGCGUGAGCGCGCCCGACGCGUACACCUCGUCCAGCCGCGCCACGUGCGCGUCGAGCGCCGCCGCCAGGACGUCGAGGUCGCUGCGCAGCCGCAGCUUGCCGCCGCCGUAGUGCCGCCCCUGGCUGCGCGGCACCAGCUCCAGCGCCUCCCGGGCGGUCGCCGCGACGUCCCGCAGGAGGCUCGCGAACGCGUCGCACCUGUCCUCGCCGUUGUCGUCGUCGGCGCCGGUGACGGUGAUGUCGGCGAGGCCGGCGUGGAGGCGGUUGAGCCGGUCCCUGAUGAGCUGCCACUUGAGCGGGAACAGCGUGGCCGACAAGGAAGCGGAGACCAAGGAACUGAUGGCGUCCAGCGCCUCCGCAAGCAUCCCCUGCUCAUCCAGCUCCUCGUUCUGGCUCAACUCCGCCGCCGGCGCGGCCGCUUCUUCCUCCCCUGCUUCUCCCAUCCUCCUGUCCUGUCCAAGCUCACUGCCUCAGCAGCAUCGGUCAGCUCCUUCUCCGAAGAAGGCUCACAUGCACCUCUUCGAUUCUCGCCGAGCUUGCAUCGUGGUGGUGGUCGAGCGAGGACGAGAGGAGAGGUGGAAGGAAGCAGCGGUGCGUGGAGUGUGAUAACUGUAACUGCACGGUGGCGCUGAACUGGAAGAGACGGGCAGCUUUGGCGUCUUCCAGGUAGUUAAUGGAGGUGGAGGUGGAGGCGGGUGGGCCCGGCAGUGGGCGGUGGACCUACCGGCCGGGGCGCAGGCGCAGCACGAGCGCGCGACUGUUGAUGCAUGCGCUGGGCUUCUCGGGGAAACACGACGACGAGGCCCCGCCUGCCCUGGGGAUCGGCGAGCUUUGGUGCGGAGCGGCAAGCGCACGACGAGGGGAAUGGAAUAGCGGCACAAGUGACCAAGCCUGCCAGCGUCCACUGGCUACGGGUUUAGGAUCGCGUGACACGCUCAAAUGCUAGGCGCACAUAGAGGAGAAAUAUGGAACCCUCUCCAGCUCAAGUGUCAACCAUUUGAACAACACAAAUAUACAGUAUCUUGUUCUGUGCGGUGAAAGACGAAACUAUGCAAGCCGACACGACAACCUCCUCAUCAGUCUUGUAUUGUAUCUCUCACAAAUAUGGCUAUUUAUUUGGCCAUAGGCGGUGUACUGCUCAUUGAUAGCAAGGUACGUGACCUUGUCACCCUGAACGUCUAUGUGUGUGUGUGAAUCAGUGGUUGUGCCAAUAUAUUUAUUUCUUUUUCAUAAAAAAUAUGGACGCUGAUACUGCAUCUGAGUGCCACAUCAAGAGCUUUCAGGAUGGAUGUCAAUGCUCAUUCAUAUAGCUUGAUGUAUCCACUAUUCCACUAGAAUGGAACUCAUCUGUUACUAUUUGCACUAACAAACACCAUGACUCAAAUUCGGUCAAAUAAAUCAUUUAUUUUUAUAUGUAGUAAAACUUCUCACUGAUGGUUUGGAUGAUAUACUCCUUUUUGGUUCGAACAACUCAUUGUCCUAGAUAUAACAUAGAGAAUAAAAUAAUGAUACACUAGAAUUGAACUCAUUUCUUACUCUUUGCACUGACAAACACCACGACUCAAAUUCGGUUAAAUAAACCAUUCAUUUUUAUGUAGUAAAAUUUUUACUGAUGGUUUCAAUUUUUUAUGUAGUAUGCGAAUAUGGAUGGAUCAUGGAUGCCUAGCAUUAUCUACAUAGCACGCUCAAUACUCAUGCAUUCUCUAGGCUACAAAAUAUAUUAUUUUUAAUUAUUUUGAAACUAUUUGAAAAUAGUCAUUAUAAUUGAACCUAUUUAGAUUUGUAUCUAUGACUAUUGAUAUUAAUAUGGUUAAUGGUAUUAAUUUUAAUCAUAUGACUAAUGAUAUACAAUUUAACUUCAAAUUGCGCACAUUCAAUAAUUAAAAAUUGAAUCUAUUUAAAAUUUGCAAUAAUUAUCUUGAAACUAUUUUAGAAUGGUAUCUAUGAAUAAUAAAAAUAUUAAAUUGUAUAAACUAUUUAUUUCUAAUUUCAAUUAAUGUUGGCAAUGCUAUAUAUCCCAUGUUGUAUUUUUAUGACUUGUAAUAUGAUUGGUGUAAAUAAAUGUGUAGUUGUGAAAAUAGAAAAAAUAUGAAAUAUUAAUGGUAUAUUUUUAUUCAUCUAACUCAGUGUUUGGUUAACAUAUUAGCCCGGUUUUCAAUCAAAAUAUUAUUUUUUUAAUAAUUUAUUUAUAAUGGUUCUAAGAAAGUAUUAACUCAAUAUACAUGUUCAAACCAUUAUUAGUUUUUAUGUGUUUUUGUUCUUAAAUAUAAGUAUCCUUUGGUUUUUGAAAUGAAAAGAGAAUUUAUAAUUUGAGGUGCAGAUAGUCCAAUUUCUAUCUGUAUUAAAGAUUCAAGAGUAUCCUAAUUCAUUUUAAAAUAUGGAUACAAAAGUGGAAAGAGCAAUAUAUAACGGUAUCCUAUCUAAUUUCCAUCCCCGAAAAUCUCAACGUGGUGACCACUUUCCACGAACGAAACUCGCCACAGCUCGGACGCAUGAUUCAUCACGAGAUGCAACAUCGAGUUCUUAGCAUCGACCGAUGGCAUCAUGGCAAAGCGAACAAAGUCUGUCAAGUCAGUCCAGGCAUCUAGCAGCGCAGCCUGCAGCCGAGAAUCACGAAGCACUGCCGCACUGGCACUGAAGCAUCCACUCAACGCCGAAGAACGCGCGCGACUGGACAAGAGCGCAUGCACGGGAGCAAUUCCUGUGCGCCUGCCUCAUCGUGCCAUGCAUGCAAUCCUGCCAUGAAAACUACUACUCUAGAACUGCCAAUCUUCUCGUCGCCUAGGAAAGGGUCCAUUUCUAUCCACUUGCGCUUCGCUUCUACGCCGCUCAUGUGAGCCCUUCCUUAAUUUGGCUGCACCUGCACCUGCACCUCACGAGAGAGCCUCGCUUUAGCUGGUGUGGAUGUGAAGGAACAAAGGGCGAAAGGAGCACAGGAAAAGAUGCAUAAAAAGCUCUGCAUGGCAAGGAUCACACAAGGGUCUUGUUGCCCUCAUGGCAAGAAAAGGGCGCCCGCUUUCCUCUUUCUGGAGAUCCGCAGAAUACUUGGCGGUUGGUCAUGUGAGAGCGAGAGGCAAACGGCAUCGGCUACCUGCUCUGCUCAGCUACCGGUCUGUUACUGCAGUGUGAUCCGUGAUGCUGCAUUGCCGUGGUAAAGAACAGUGCAGGAUGGAAACAUGUGAUUCGUGAACAUUCCAUCAGGCAAACAGAGAUGAGAACAAUUUAGCAUGAUUUUGCCGUGUAUGGCUGCAUGCUGCAUCGGUACGUCCGUCGGAUUAUUGUCUCUGGAUGGAUUGUGACUUUGUGAGAGCCCAUGCCUGCAUGGGAGCUGGGGGCUCAGCACAUGUGGCUGGAACUGUGGAUGGAUAGCUGCGAGACUCUACCAAUAUCACUGAUAUGAAAUCAAUCAAUAAUGUUUCGGAAAAUGCAGCUGCAGUGGUCACGUAUGCAUGGCUGGAAUCGUCUACUGUUUGGAAUCAGUACCUAGCAGGAUAACAGACCAUCUCCUCCUUAGAAAAAAAAUGAAGGCAAAGUCUGUACAGAACUUUCACACAGAUUGUGGCUACCUGAUUGUAUGAGCCACCACUCAUCUCCUGUAGUUAGUUCUUCAGAAACCUUGGACCCAUCUCCUCAUAAUGCCAUUGUUCUCUGGACAAACUCAAUAAAUUGGUAAUACGAGAUCCUGGAAAAGGGACAGAUCUCUGAUCUGGACCCAUGAUUGCCCUUCAAGAUCAUCAUGGGUAGUGGCUCGCAAAGCGCUCCCAAAGUUUUGGUCCCAUGGAAAGUGGUUGUGGGUGACAAAGUACAUGUGCUAUAGCCCAUAGGAUGAUAUGGUAGUAAAAGCUUCGGUUUCCCCAUGGAGAGGAAAAGCCACCCCCACUUUCUUGAGAAGAAAAAAGUUUGUAAGCCAACAGCUAUCUUUUGCUGCAAUGUUUAUGCAUUGACUCAAAUCAUCGCAGCAGAUUUGGCCGCUGAUUGUCAAACCUAGCGCAUGCUGAUUCUCUAGGUGCUUUGAGUGGCUCAAGGAUUUUGUCAUGUCUCUGCAAGAAAUGUUUUUUAAUAAAAAAAGGAGAAAGAAAUGUUUCUGGAUGCAGUGAGUGCAGUUAAUACUGAAACAGACAUGAUUAUAAAGUACAAAAUCAAACUUGACAGUUAGUGGCAUAUGAUCCAAUCUAGUUCAUCAUUAGACUAGGUGAUCUCAAGAGUAGGUAAUUUAGACGGAAAGGCAUGUAAUCCAAAGUAGAACGAAGAUGUACCCAAUCUGAACCUUGCUUUUGCUUUGCUAUCCAAGAUCAUGCGGUGGAGUAGUUGCUUUUCGAGCUUUCAAGAGACAAGCCAGUGCUACAGAACAGUUGCUUGGGACAGUACUGUACUGGUGAAGUUUUAUCAAAAAAUAUUAUUGGAGAGCGUUCGCUACCUAAAAUUAGCCAACUGAAAGCAAAACACCACCAACCAUCAGUUUGACAUGCAUGCAUCCUUUAAUUAGUUGUCUUAAAUUGUCAUGCAGUUUGUGAUACAAUGAACCAUGUCUGAUAUUCUUCAAUGACAAACUAUUUUUUUUCACUAAUUUACUGCUAAAUUUUAGUAGUUUCUUGCAGCAGUGUUUGUUUACUACUGUUGACGCAGCCUGCCGGAUCAUGAAGCAGGAUUGUAGAACAGUCCAAGAUCCAGGUUAUAAAAAAUAAACUGUACUGAAUGUUUGGGAUCCAAGAUAUGUUACCGUAGAAUGUAAGCUGGAAACAAGUUUAGAAUCAUCAGUGGUUGGUCAUCUUACCGAUCCCUUCAGCACUCCAUAGAGAUUGAUGUGUUCAAUCAAGUGCUGGGGAAUAAAGAAGUGAUAUGUUUGGUAAAAGGAAAAUGAAUAAGUUGGAUAUACCCGAACCACUCCACAUGCUCUGCCGCAGUUCCGACACAAGACUGAAUUAAUAUGUAUGCAGUCGAGAAAGACAAAUGGUCGAAGGCAGGAACAAUUAUAGGGACUGGUGAAUAAAGAAUCUACAAAGAAAUAUUAAAUUAAAUUAUCUUUAAAAUGUUGCAUGCAAAUGUCGUAACCCUAAAAAAAAAAACAGACCAACAUAAGACAAACAAAAUAAAGUGCAGAUUCAUGAAGAGCGUAUCACAAUAAAACAGAUAAACAAGGACGCAACACACAACUGAAGAAACUUUCUGAAGAACUCCUGUGUGUGACACGACCCAACACCUGCAGGCAGAUCGAUGACACCUUUCUCAUGAACAAAUCACUGCCAAAGAUCACUGACAAAUUUGAUGAGACCGAUUAACUUAACAGCAAUAUUCAGAUCAAUUUCAUUGUAAACUCUGCAUAACUUGGUCCACAAUUGGUUCUGAAAAUGACACCGUAUCGUGACACGCCGUCUGCUGGUUCUAGUGGGCCACAGCUCUCUAUGAGCAUGACUCGGCCACGAUAUGCCAUUUCUUCACCAUUUUCAUAUCCAAAAAAGCUCCAAAUACUGUCUGUCCCAAGUUAUCUCAUCCAGAGUUUCAGUCAUGCAGCACCUCCUGAUUCUACCGGAGGUCUAGAGCACUUCCUUUGAGCAGUUGCUCUAGAGCAGUUCCUUUGAGCACAGCCUCGAUAUCCAGCCUGUACCAGGGCCCAACGACGGCGAAUUGGCAAACGGCCCAUCCCAAAACCUGUGGCGACAAUGUGCAUGCAAGCGCGACGAAAGUGUCGUCCAUGAGCCUCGAGCGUUCUACCGCCUUAUCCCGGGUUCCCAGCCAAGUGGAGCAGGGUCCUCCACGAUCUCUUCAGUGGCCGGCGUUGGACGCGGCGAAUUCUUUACACGCCGCCGCUAUCCGAGCCACGAACACCGAGGCACGUGCGCCCGGCGCGGCCACAUGUCGAGCAGCACGCGAUCGAACGCUCUUUUCCGUCGUUCCCAAUCCGGCCUCAAAUUCAAUUUGGCGCCCCAUUUGGUAAUGGCUAUAUAACGUGACGAGCCACCCGAAGCAUUCGCCGCAUCUCGCGCCCCGGCAUCUGCUCCGCUUCCUCUCGGCUAGCCGGCCACCGUGUCGUAGUCUCGUGGAGCGACAGAGCAAGGCGGCGGCGGCGGCGGCGGCGAGGAUGCUGGAGAGCCAGGCGGUGAUCGGGGACACGGACAUGCUGCAGGCGAUGCAGCAGGACGCGCUGCGGCUGGCCGGGAAGGCGCUGGACGACUUCGAGGCCGUCGACUCCACCGAGAUCGCCCGGUUCAUCAAGAAGGUCGGUCGGUCGGCCGGUCACCGUUCGUUGUUGCAGCGAACACUGAACGCCUUUUCAGAAUGGUGACAUGUUUCUUUGGUUUCUGAUGCUGACAUGUUUUUGCAGGAGUUCGACCGGUCGUACGGGCCCGGAUGGCAGUGCAUCGUGGGCACCGACUUCGGGUCCUUCGUGACGCACCACUCCGGCUGCUUCAUCUACUUCGGCAUCGGCAACCUGGCCAUCCUGCUGUUCAAUGGCGGCGCCGGCGGCGCUCCUCAGGGUGGCACGGCGGAGCAGGCGCGGCUCACGGCGCUGAAGGCUGCUGUCGAGGCGUGAGGGAUCGGAAUGGCGUAGGGUAUGCAGGAUGGAUUGGUCGAAGUUAUUAUGGUUCGUGUCAUGGUGUGGCUGUGUUCCUGCCACGUCGUUUCGUGCUUGCUUGCGAGUGAGAGUGGCCAGACUCGAGUGUAGCGAUCAAACUUGGAGGACUUUAAUUGGGUCUUGUUUUUAAUUGGGUCUUGUUUAGUUUCCCAAAAUCCCAACUUUGGUACUAUGCAAAAAGAAGAUUCCCCGUCACAUUAAACUUGCGGUACAUGCAUGAAGUACUAAAUGUAGACAAAAUCAAAAACUAAUUGUACAGUUUUGUUGUGUAGUCAAUGUUUGGACAAUAAUUCAUAAAUACAAACGAAACGCUACAGCACAGUGAUUUUGAUCGUUCAAAAUCGAGCAACUGAACAUGCCCUUGGUAAAAAACAUUGUUCUGGCGGAAGCAGGUCACACCGAAAGUGCGGAGUGGAACUUCACAUGCAUUUUCAUCAUUCUCACGUUUCUUCAGAAUCUUCAGAAUCAUUGUUCUCGCAGAAGCUGUGGGCUAUGGGCUACGGAUCAGUCCUUCGCUAUCCCUUCCUUUUCGUCCGUCUAUCCGGAAUUUUUUUAUUUUCAUAUUUUUUUCGAUUUUGCACAAAUAUAUAGUCAAAUCAAAAAUUUGCAAAAUGGGCUUAUACCGCCGGCUGAAACUGUACCGCCAUUUGAAACGGUACCGCCGGUUGAAACGGCGGUAUGGGCCUGGCGCCUCAACGGUCACCCAGCGGAUAAGCUCUGCGCGGCAUCCGAGGAAACUGGCCCUUACCGCCGGUCAAACAGCGGGGCUCGCCCACCGUAUAAGCCGCACCCACGCCCCUCCCCUCCCCCGCACCAGACUGCGCCAGACAGAGAGAGAACGCCAGAGAAAGAGAGGAAAUGAAAGAAGGGAAGAAAAAAAAGAAGGAGAGGAGAGGAGGAGGAGGGAAGAAGGGGGAAGGAAAUUCUUCCGUCGUUUCGAGGUAAAUUUUUUUAAUCUUGUAGUUUAGAUAGUAUAGUGUAGUGACUAAAUCUAGAUUUAGAAAUAUUAGUGGAUCUGAGAUUUAGAAAUAGCUAGUGAAUCUAAGACUUAGAAACAUUUAGCCGAAUUUAGAUAUAGUAAAAUGUAGCUUAGUUGGUUCAAUAAAUUUAGCUUAAACAGUAAAAUAGAUUUAGCUUCGGUGGUAUAGUAGAUUUAGCUUAGGUGGUAUAGUAGAUUUAGCUCAGGUAGUACAGUAGCUUUAUUUUAGAUCACAGUAAAUUUAAGAAAUAUUAGUGGAUCCGAGAUUUAGAAAUAUCUAGUGGAUUUGAGAUUUAUUUGUUGUGUAUAUUAGUUCUGGUACAUGUCUACGGUAAAUUUAGUUAGUAAGUUUGGUUUAGUGUUACAUAGUUAUUUGUUUAUUGAAUUGAAGUCGUCAUUGCAGUUAACUGACAUCAUUGUAGUCGUCAUUGUGGUACACUAAGCUUGGUUUAGUGUUACGUCGUUGUCUGGUCCCCUCUCUGUUUGGGCUGUUGCAGCGCCGGUUAUAUAGCGUGAACUCCCGCCGGUUCAUCCGGCGGUAAGGGUCCUUCCACCGUUUCAACCGGCGGGGGUUCCUCGAUCCGCGCGCACACUGCUUCGGCGGCAGCACUUAGGUGGUGAGGGCCUUACUACCAUUUCAACCGGCGGUAGGGCUCUCCCACCUGCUGAAACGGUGUCAGGGACCGGUGUAGGGGGUGUCAGGCCGUACCGCCGUUUCAGCCGGCCGUAUAAACCCAUUUUUGCAAAUUUUUUAUUCCACUAUAGAUUUUUGUAAAAUCGAAAAAAAUAUAAAAAUAAAAAAAUAUCUCCUCUCCGAGCAAAGCACAUGGGCCAAAACCUGACCUGGGAGACAACAGGAGAGAGAGAGAGAGACUUGUACAAGCGUUGGGCCCUGUCUCUGAACCAUAGGCCCAUGAACACACUGCUCUUUCCGUUCCAACUAGCCAGAAUGCCAGAUCACCUAACACCCUAUCAAGGGGUAAGCUUGCUACCUCAGUGACACGACCCGAUCUCACUUUUCUUCAACACUUUUUGCACACAUCGUUAUCACGUUUACAAAUCAUUUACUUGUCAAAAAUGCAAGAUGUCGUGCACGUAGACACUAGCGGAGUUAGGUGUAAACAAGACGUGUAGGGGUCCCUGUCCUGUUCCCACGAAAAUUAUGUCUUGAAAUGCUGCAAGAACAAUUGUAUCUGAAUACCUAAACAAACAAUUGUAUCUGAACCGGCUGCCGUCCAAAUCAUGUUUAUGGAAUGGGAGCAGUCUGUUCACGUGGCCCAUGACAGGGAGACAGGGAGAGUGCCUGAAUAACUAUCUGUCGCAUAUACGUGGGUCCUACUUGUCAGCGCCAUAGCCUCCUCUUCCUCUACCUUCGCCCGCUGCCGGUUCUCCUUUCCCUUCUUCCUCUUCCUCCACCGGCCUUAGAAAAGGGGUGGGAGAUCGUAGGUAGACCUUGACGGCAGAGGCAGGUUGUGAGGCGGCGCGGCGCGGUGACGGGUGGAUAGCCGGUAGGCUAGGGAUUGGCCGGGGCGAAGGUUGGAGGUGAGCUUCUCGGCGGAGCCGGAUUAGGGUGACGGAGGGUGGCGGCGGCAGAUGCGGUGGCUAGAGUUGCCGCAGACGGUGGAGGACAACAGCACGGGGGCGAGCGGAGGAGAGAGAGGGGCCGAGGAGAGAAGGCAGCGGGUUCGGCGGCGAGCCGCCGGAGCCAGGGAGGAAGGUGGUGCAGGGGCUGUUACUGAAAAUGUCGCCUUGAGUGACACGUAGCACCGCCCCAGUUAGGUUGCGACAAACGAUUUGAUGCCUGAACAACGUGCAGUCUGACGAAGCGCUGGAGACCAACAGAUUCGAGCAUUACAGCGAUAAGCAAGGUAUAAAUUUAGGUAACAGCAAAUCUAAAUAGUCCAGCAGGAAAUCCCAGGCAGCAGCACCUAAAACUUGCGACGAGAAAUGGACAGGCUGAGACGAUAUUCAGUCAGUGUGCACUGGCGCGUCACAUCACAUCAGCAUUGGCAUUGUUCUUGUGCUCUGAAUCUGAACUGAUUCGGCGAACCAACUUUAACCAACCAAGCCAACCACCAAACAGGCUACUGAUGCGAUCUAGGAAUCCAGAUCCAAACAGCAUUGCCAAGGCACUCGACCAUCCGCAACAAAAGCUUGGCGAUUCGAGCACAGUCCAGCCACUGAUGGCGUACACGCGUGAUGCAGCAGCACAGCGCGUACCAGUGGAGCAUAAUGGCCCAGCAGUUGCAACCUUGGCCACAAGGAAGAUGAAGAUGCCUGAGAAUCUUGCAAUGCCCAUCGAUACCACUCAGAAGUCACAGCAGCUCAUGAUUCUCAAUCUUUUGCGGUGAAUUUAAAAAAAGACCGGAACAACUGUAGGCUCUGAAUAAGUUAUCAUCAUCAUCAUGAUCUCAAAUAAGCAAAGCAAUCCGUUUGAGAAAAAAGGGAAAGCAGCAAAGCUUCUCACUCUCAGUAUCUCCUCAGCAUCCUAUAUGUACAUUGCGGCAAGCCAUCUAGAUAAACGCACUCAAGAACUCCAAAUCCACACGCCCGAUCAGCAAAAGUUUUGUUAAAAAAGCCCGUGAAACCAAGAAUUAAUCCCCAAGUAGAAAAAAGGACGUGGCGAAACGUGUGUGUGUCGCGUCCGGGGCAGUCGAUUCUGUCACCGGCACCGGGAGAUGUCGAUCUCGAUGAGGCUGUCCUCCUCCAGCAAGAUCUCGAUCAUCCCGUCCUCCCCCUCGCCCCCACCGCCGAUGACGCCGUCGUCGUCGCUGUCGCCGCCGACGCUGUCCGAGUCGGAGUCGGAGUCGAGGUCGGAAUCGGAGGCCCAGGACAGGCCCAUCUCCUCCGGCCGCCCCCACUCCGCCUCGAACUCCUCGUGGAUCACCUCCAGGGCGCGCCCCUUGGCCACCCACGACGCGAACUCGAGGGCCUCCGCCGGGAACACGAUCUCCCGCUCCGGCGGCGGCGGAGAAGGAGGUGGGGGAGGCGGCUGGAGAGGCGGGUGCGCGGCCUCGUGAAGCUGCUGCUGAGGCAGCUUCUCCUCCGGCUGCGUCGACGUAGGAGGAGGGUUGACGGGAGCGGGGGACGCCGGCGGCGCGGAGCCGAGGCGGAGGAGGGAGAGGAGGAGGAGCAGGGAGGAUAGCGAGGCGGGGGAGAGCACGAACAGCAGCAGCGGCCGGGGGAGGUAGAGCACGGCGAGGAGGGAUGCCGCGGCGGCGGCGGCGAGGAGCGGGUGGUGGUGGUGGGGCUGCCGCCGGUCGCCGCCGGCGGGGACCUCUUGCGCCGGCGGCGGCGGGGAAGGUGAGGUGGAGGGGGCGGAAGUGGCCAUUUAUGGCGGGAGGAGUGGAGCGGUUAAAGCGCCGGCACCCCGCCAAGCGCGGCGGUUUUUAUAUAGAAGGGGAAGCGGACAAGCAGAGGAGAUUUGCCGCAAAGCUCCGGCACGGUUUGGCAGAAGAGGGGAGAGGGAGGCAGAUGGAGUGAGUGACCGCGUCGAUGAACUACUGCUACGGCUUGGCAGCUCUUGCAAGUACACGCCAACGGGGGAGAGGACAGUCGGGUAGAAAGUCCAGGGCUCAGAACGUGAACGGCCAAACCGUGCCGCGUUAAAACUGGGAUGACUUUUAAGUGCUACUGCUUGGACAUCGGUAUUUUCUUUGGGUGAUUUUUCGAGCUGUAUAGAACAGCGUACAUUUACGAUUUUACGGUACGCGAAGAAGUGGUAUCGCUUAUUUAGGAAAUAACCAAUUGAAUGGUGUUAUUCCUCUGAUCACGUAUUUAAGCCCACCCAUGUUGAAGUCAAAAGUUCUUUUUAAUUAUGACUAUUAAUAUAUAAAGCGACUAGAAUUAAAUCAUAUUUGACUUGUAACCCUAGACCGUCAGCGUAUAUAAAGCGACCAGGGACACCCCCGAGGGUAACUCCCCUCAACCCAACAAACGUUAACUCUUUGCACCUGCGAUUAGCAAUAUAAUUCAUCAGAACACAGGACAUAGCGUAUUGCUCUUCGGAGGCUCGAACCUGUCUAAACCUUGCGUCCCUAUGUUACCAUUCGAGUUCUUGAUCUUACAAUCUUGCUCAUCUACAAAUCUACCACCUGAAUAACCUCUAGUGGAUUGCCGAUUAGGUUUAGACAAUUAGGUUCACUAACCAAAAAGUACUUUCAUAUAUGCAUUACUCCUUCCAUUUAGGACGUUCUAAUAUUAUUGAUAUCGCUAAAAGUGUUAGAUUGGAGAUGGUAACUUGAUAUCUCGAAGUGUUACUCCUUCCAUAGCUCGAAGUGUUUUAUGGAUUUGAUGUACAAUUCCUAGUUCCAUGGCCAAACAAGUUUUGAUACUUCGAAUUAGUACGGUUGUGGCACAGAUGGUACGAGUUUUACACCGUGAUGGUCUGAUUCUAAUUGUUACAAAAGCUAUGAUAAAAUUUUGGAACCGUAAUUGGCACAAUGGCACAAAUACGUUUCCUUUUUUGAAGGAAAUGGCGGGUGCAAUGCCAUGUCAUUUAAGUAAAAUUAGCAUAAAUGCCCGUGCAUUGCUACGGUUUCUUACCAACUUCCAAGUUGUCAUCCGCUAGCACCUAGUUCGCUUUCUUCACUUUCUAAUCUGGUUUAGAAUGUUUCAUAAUAUUUGUAUACAUCUCUGAUAAUAAUAAACGGACAACUCCUUUGAAUUCUGCAUGGCCUAUUUGAACGGUAGAAUCUCAAUUACAUAUGUAAUGUGUCCUACAUCUAGUUCAAACAUGCAUUAAAACUUCUGAUAAGAUUCAGUACUAAUGCAACUCAUGUCUUAGUUAUUAUGAACAUAAGAGAUUAUCCACAAAACUUUCAAGCUAUAAAAUGAAAAAAAUUAUAAGGCUAAACUAAAUGCUCAGUCCUUGAUUAUAAUAUACUCAACAAUUCAUGCCUGGUCCUGAUAGCCUGAUAUCCUGUCUAGUUGCUCCAAGAAACAUGAGCAAUCAACAUUAUCCUUCAGCAAUUUGCUCCUCAUAAUACAGUCAACAAUGACCAAAUGUUCUACAGACUCAGCCAAAUCAGCGUUGGAGGAUUCGACAUUUCUUCCCAGUCUUUUUUGCGGGACCCACAUCAGGCUGGCAAUCCAUGGCAACCACCGGCCAGCACCUUCCUGCCGCUAAACCCCUAGCAUCGCAUGGCCGCCGCACGACGGGGCGGGAAGAGGAGGGGCCGCCGCCCCUCAAGCUCACCGUGGCCAUGCCGCAACGACUUCGUCCAACCUCCCAACGCUGCUCCUCGAGCUCACCGUUGCCGUGGUGCCGCCCGCCUGAACCUUGUCCCCGACCUCUGCCGCCCCUCAAGCUCCCACUACGGCCCGUGCGUCUACAGUGCUGCCGUCAGCACGAGCUUCCCGCUGCAGCCCGCGCGUUUUGGUGCCGCGGCUCGCAGUCGUCACCGCUGGUGUUGGCCAUGGUGAACAUGACCGGGUUGACGGCAAAGAACAACACAAAUUGGGCUUCCUAAUGCCGAGCGUGAGCUCCCUGCAACCCAAACCGAGCUUCAAACACAAAGCUCGAACUCGUCGCUUCCCAAAUCGAUCUUUCGGAUGCCAAGCUUGAGCUUCCCGCUGCCUACGAGGAUGGACUAGAAGGGUGCGACUGCCGCCGCCCGCGGCGUCAGCGCGGGAAGAGGAAGGGGCAACCUCCCUUGACACUUGCACUCUACAGUCAUCGCGGCCAUGGCCUUGCGCCAUAGAUUUCUUGUAUCCCACGUCAGUAAGUUGAGGGAGGGGGAAUCGUCGCCAGUGCUUUUAGCCACCGUCACCUGCAGCGAUUUGCACCGGAAGCAAAGGUGUUGUCAGAAAGAGAAGGGGUAGGCUCGCCACCUGCUAGUUUUGCUUGGCUUGGGCUCACGAAGGGAGUGCGGGACGGAGAAAGAAAGAAGACGAUGAGAGAGAGAAAACGAAUUACGCCGGUUUAACUUCCAGAACUGCGGGUUUAUUAUGAAAAAAUUGAAGGAUUUUUUUGCAAAAUAACCACGACGGUUGAAAGAAACCGUACUUUAAUAUUAAGUAUAGAUAUAGAUAUAAGAAAAAUAAGUCUUGAAUAGAUUUGAUUACAUAAAUAAUAGUUAUAGUAGGAUUUUUUUUCUGUUUUUCUUGUGCCAUGUGUGCCCGUAGCAUUUCCGUCUCCACUGCCAAGAUCCAGGAAGACCUGUGCCGGUCAAACCGGCGUGGCCUUGUGCUGCGACCUCUUGGCAGCAGCGCAGUGAUGAAUGAUGAUGGCCGCCGCGCACACAGAACCGCAGGAAACGGCGCACCGGCACGGCUGGGCCGGUGGCUCUCCCUCGGUUCGGGCAGGCGAAACAAAGAAGUGGAAUACGGCGAUUCGAAACCAGACCAUCCGGGCAACCGGGGAGGCAGAGCCGCAGAGGCAAAGGCGGGCAAAAGCAGCGGCAUCCUCUGCUGCCUGCCGAUUGCCGGGGCGCCGAGACCAACAAAGCUGGCAAGCCAAAGCGGCAAAGCGUCCUCUGGCACGGCUCUCACUAGCGCAUGCGGCGUAGCAGCACGUAGUCACAGUGUCACAGUCGGAUACCUGCUCGCCGCCGGCAGGACGAGUUGCUGUCACCGCCACGUACCGCAAAACUCGCAAUCCUCUGCGCUGCCGUGCCACGGGAAAGCGCCCGGAGCAGUGGCAGGAUCGCUUGCACUCCAAGGCUUUGCCAGGAGGGACGCGGGGGACGGACGGCCUACAACGGAGGCAUGUUCUGAUCUUCGGGUUGGUUGCGCUGGGCUGGGGCAUGGUGCGGGGACUGUCCUGCCCGCGCCAGGUUACUUUUCCUCAACCGAUGCUUAGCUUCUUGGUUCUCGAAGAUGAGAGAUUUCCUGAACGGAGUUGGGGGGAUUCUUUGAGGAGUUUUUAGUUUCCGAAGCCCGGAUCGGAGAAAACGAAAUUCGAGAGAUCCUACGUUGUACUAGUCGUACCUGGUCCUAGGUUUCUGCCCUUCUGUCGUACACGUCCCUAGGCCAAAGUUGCAGUGCCAUACGAUGCGAUGCCGGAGCCCCAGAGAUCUGAGUUCUGAGUUCUGAGCGAAUGUCUCGGUAUGAUGUACUACAGUACUAGGAGGUACUCCGUAGGAGCAAAGCAGCCGGUACGUCGCUCUCGUGCAAGAAGGAACAGGCGGCUAGCACUGUGUGAUGUUGAUGGCGAUCGGGAUCCAAACAAACUGAAGCCGUCGCGUGUACUGCGUAGUGACGUUACCAGAUCACCACACUAUAUGAAGUACGAGCUCAUGAUCUGCCGACAUUUCUAGCUGGGACUCGCUGAACAACCACGGAGGGCGCACCGCGUAGUCCCAAGUCCCAACCCGGAACCUCCCAAGCAGCCCCCUGCAUAUGAAUGCGCAUGUUCAUACUUGCUACUGAUAAAAUUUUACUUCUGCAGCGACCACACAAGCUGCUGCCCGGCUGCCCCCCGUGAAAAAAACGUGACCCAUACAAAAUUGGGGGGUCCAACUCGCAAAAUCUAACCAACACGAGUGGCUUUUCAACGUUAUGAUAUGAUAAUCUUCAACAGUUCAACGUGCAAUCGGUGACGCCUUUUGCGUCCAAGAAAGGAGGAAUCUGGCUUAUUUUUUAAAAGAAAAAAAAAUUCUGCGGGCAUGGUUGGAGUCCGAUUGUCCAAAGAUAUGAACACGCUUUUGCAGGACGUCCUGCACCUAGAGAUUGCAAUCUGUCCCUUGUUCAUUUGAUGAUGCCGGUUGCCGGGGGCAGGGGAUUUCCCAUCCGCACGUGAACUGAUGGGCGAGGGCGCUAGGCUUCGGUGCGUCCGGGUCAAAAAGGUGCCAAGGGGGAAGCACAGCCCCUCCGUAACUGAUGAAGAGUACUGCGACGAUCCACUGUAAAAACUCCACUUUGAUUCAGUACCAAGUUAACCGGCCAACGGUGAGGUUGGAGUAGAAUAGUACUGAGCGUGAAGGUUAACCGGCCAACGGCAAAGAACGAGCCGUAGGUACGGGAAGUUGCUGAUGGAGUAGAGUACUUGCUAGAGCAACUGUAACUGAAGCUCGUCGAUCGAUCAAGUUGCUGAUGAAAAAGUGUACAGCCAAGGAUGCUGGAACAUUGCAUCUCGCAUGCAUGAGCAGCUAGGUUUCUCCAGCCAAGUACUACAGCAAACAAGUGUGAUGAAUCAGAAAUGAUUUCGGCAGCUCAACUUGCAGGUUUAAAUGAUUUCUAGUGACAGGCAGGCCAUGAAUCAGAAAAGACCGUAAAAUGCAGAACGAGUCUGAUGCUUCAACAGUAUGCCAGCGUUAAAAGUGUGGAACACGUGAAGGUUUACUCUAUCUGCAGUUCCGCACAGGCCAAAUACUCCGGCUGACCGGCAGCACCUGCCAUGUUUUGUUGUUUAUGAUGAAGAGUUUUGAGCCUUGCUUAGUUGCCAAAAUUGGGAGUGCCAAAAUUACUGUGACGGCACUGUAGCACACUGUAGCGUUUCGUUUGUAUUUGUGAAUUAUUGUCCAAACAUUGACUAAUUAGGCUCAAAAGAUUCAUCUCGCAAAGUACAACAAAACUGUGCAAUUAGUUUUUAAUUUCAUCUACAUUUAGUACUCCAUGCAUGUACCGCAAGUUUGAUAUGAUGUGGAAUCUUCUUUUUGCAUAGUGGCAAAGUUGGGAGUUAGGGGUGAAGUAAACAAGGGCUUGAACGCCAAACAAAUAUUUAUGACAAAAGCUCGACAGCCCCCAAGAAAAAAAGGGAGAUACUCAUACUACUGUAGUACUCAGCGUGAGCUCGUCAGUGACGGAAAAGAGAGACAGGGAGAGACCCGGCCGGGAUGGGACCGCGCAGGUGUUGGACCGCCGGGCGUUCUGCGAUCAACCGACGCCGGCUGCCGCGCUGCUGGCUUACUUUUUUGGCGCGCCAGCCACCGGCACCGUGGCCCGAUCCGGCCGGCGGGCCAAUAAUUCGUUGGUUCGGCGCGACGGCCGUCGUCAGGGAUCGACCACCCCCGGCCGGGUCCCCUCCGCCCACUACACGUGCCGCGGUGCCGGCCCGCGGCGACCAGUGCCGCUGCCGGCUGCUCCACGGCUGGCAGCCACGGAGGCGCGGAAGCUGGCACAGCUGCGUGAGGCGGCGCGCGUCCUGUCGCCGGCGUAAACGCGUGGGACGGCCAGGCCAAGCCUCUUGUGUCUUUCUGGGGCGGCUGCACCUGCCCUGCCGGUGAAGUGCUGUAGCAAUUGCGCGGCCAUUGCCGUGGUGGCACCGCUAGUAAAAGCGCCGUGCUCCACGCUUGGGUCCGGGCGGCUCAAAUGAUUGCACGAGCAACUGCUGAUCGAUUACAUUUGCCAGUUGCCAGCGAUCUCGUUUCCUUCCGGGUUCCAGGAACCAUCAAUGUGGACUGUGGAAUGGCGUCAAGAAGGUGGCACUGUGCUGCCUACCAUAAUACCAUUGCAUCUGCACAGUGCACUUGCACCGGGUUGGGGAGCUGCACUGCUUUUACGGAUUAGAGUAUGUUUGGGGUCGUUUUACACCGGAUGGUGGCUGCGUACUAGCGACAGCAAAUGGGUGUAAAAGAAUCGCAAAUGUUCAAACCAUAAUAAAAUCACGCUAGCGAACUAGUAGCCUCAUUCAGAACUCUGGAUUUUGGCCCAUGCUGUAGUGGGCGAGAGCCGAAAGCCACACCACCAACUCCAACAAACCGAACGAAAGAAAAAUCUGGACAGGCAGACUGCAGCUCUGAAGAAACAACACCACUGAUGCCGCACGCAGUUCUUCAGAGUUCAGAGAUAGUGCAAUCUCUGUGCACGCAUGAUUCACACAAUUGCAACAGAUAACACCAUCCAUAUUGAAGCAAAUAAAAGAGUUUAUCUUCUCGUGCACACUAGCAUACGGAGAUCAUACACUUACAGCAUACACAAAAGAGAAGAGAGAUCUCACAUAACUUUUACAAGGUACUUCUACAAAAAAAAAAAAAGAUAAAAACAUCGUCUGUGUUCUUCAAUCACAGCAUUGAAGAAACUCUCUCUAUAUAUAAGCUAGUACUAGUAACUCAUAUGAGUAUACUACUUACCACUACCUAAAAGUUUCUCUAUGACGUGGGCUACAAAAAGCACUGAACUUUGCAGCCUGACACUACUAGAUACACUGGCAAGCUGAAGUGGAAACUGAAAGCCUGUGAUGUCAUAUAUUUACAUCUAGACCUCGGAGAGCAAGGUUUCGAAUGACGCCGACAGGUUGAUGGCGAUGCUAUCCAGGUUCUUGUUCCGGAGGCGCGACCUUGCAACCCUGCGUUGCAUGGGCGCCCCGGGGCCAUCUUCAUCCUCGCCGUCCUCGUCGCCUCUAAAACCGGCCUUCGAGGACGGCGUCGCAAACUUGAAAUGCAGCUCUCGAGCAACAACUGUCUGCAAAGAAGGAAUUGAACAAGGCGAUGUUAGCCAACAAAGUGGACAAGAAACACAAUUUGGAAUCUGGAAUUAGGUGGUAGGGGUUCGAAGUGCGUACUGCUUCGUUGACUGGUUUCGACACGAGGAAGAGCUGCCUCAGAUCACUGUGGUUCACCUUGCACAAGACUUUAAUCUGCAAAAUCAGAAUUAAAUUGGGAUAAGCAAGGCAUACAGGACUGAAUCAGAAUGCGAGUAAUAAAAGAAAACAGAUCAGUGACAAGCAAUUACCAGGACGUCUUGAGGCAGCGAUUCAAGAAGGCUGACGGCGUCAUCCAUGUGGAACCGGACGCUGCGCUGCUUGCGCAGGGUGCGGACCGGAGAGUGAGGGCUCCUGGGGCCCGGAGUCGGUGACACGGCCACCCUCUUCCUCCCCAGGAUUCUCGUGCUGCUCCUGCAGUUCGAGAAGCUCAAGCUCGUGGCAAGAGACCCCUUCUUCGCGUCGCCCUGUCCAAUUGCCAUUUCCCCCCUUUGCCUGUUAAACCCUACUGCCCUUGGUCUUUGGUGAUAAAAAGAUCACUUAUCCAAUCGGAGAUCUCGUAAGGAAGAAUAUCUGCACGGGAUUAUGGAGAUAAGAAUCAUCAAGCUGAAAGAAAAAGAUUGGCGAAUUUCCUUUUAAAGACGAACCGAUUCCCUUCCAAAAUUUUAGAUCGGAAAUCCCGCGGGAGCUCUCGUUCAGCGAAAAAUCCCCGAUUCAAAUUGUCCCCAGCCACAAACCAAAACUACAGUCGAACACCACUAAGGCUCAGGCAACAGACCAGCCGCAAAAGCGAAACAGGAGCCGUUGCAUCAAACGCAAUCUAGAAAAGGCAGCAUGAUCACAAACCAAUCAGCUCUAAUCCAAUCCCCCGGCAGCGAAAGCUAGAAAAAGGCAGCAAAUCACAAUCCAAUCACCUCUAAUCCAAUCCUCCUCAGCGCAAGGAUGACAUACCACGCGAAACAGAACAAAGAAACAGAGGGCAGGAACACACUGCCAGAGCAAAGCCCGACGAGGAAGAAGAGACAAACAAGCACCGAAUCGAAACAGGAAUUCGAGAUCGGAGGAAGAGAUUACCUCUAGUUUCGCUCUCAAUCUCAAACUCCUCCUGCUCCCGAUAAUCGCACAACAACCUGUGGAUGUCUUCCCCUACUGCUAAGCAACCUAACCUGCGGCGAAUGCUGGAGGACCAGACCUGCGAGGUAAAUUUGGAAACAGCUGACCUCCCCCUUCCCCGGUUUUAUAGGAGGCCCCUCUAUUUGCUCCUACCCGGGGGAACCUGCCUACGAAGUAGAGAAAUCCUCCGCGCGGGGGCCUUUCUAGAAAAUUACGGCAACCACCAGAAUCCAAUGCUGCUUCGUGCGCAAGAUCUUUUUCACCUCCCGCGCCCACCCGCUAAUCCACGCUGCGCCGCUCACUGACACACGGGACCGGAUAAACAGGGUCCUACACGUCGGUCGAUGUGGGUCGGUGGAGGCGGCCGUGGAGGAGCGCGUGAUUUACGGGGUUACUUUUUUGAAAUCGAGGCGGGUUGGCGCUCAACCCGCGUGUGGUGCGGAGCGCGUGGGAUCGGACGGCGCGGGCUGGUGGUGGACGGGCUACGUGGCGCGAUCGCGUGGGUCUGGAACUAGCCGUUGGGGGGCGGGGGGUGGUGGGACGUGGCCCGGCGGCGGUGGGAGUGGGGACGGGGUUGGUGACGUGGUGGCUGACCGGCCGAGAUUGGAUCGCCACGCGAAAAAGAAACGACGGCCACGCGAGUAAGUCGGUGGAGGUCGGUCCGUCGCCGCCCACCGUCUGGUUUCUCGCCGCGUGGAUGUCGUGUCAAGCCCCUUGUUCUCCGGCGGUUUAAAAAUGUAGUUUGGGGACAGCUAGCGAGCGCGGCGCGGUAAUCCGGUAACAAAACGGCGGCCAAAGCGCGGCGCGGCAGAUGGCGUUGGAUUGGGACGCAAGUAUCCUCUGUCCACUGCUCGCUCAGCUGAGAAAUUUUAAUGUAUUUAAUUAAAAAAAAUUACUGUGCGCAUCCAUUUGCUUAAUGAGGAACUUCGCUGCGCGCGUCGUCUAUCCACCUGUUCGAUUAAUUAACGAGAGGGCUGGUGCGUUUAAUUCGAUUACGGCUGCCUGUAUAUAAGAAAAAAACGAUAAUCACUUGGUUGGUGGAAAAAGAGUGCGUUCCGAAAGAAACUGUGCUUCUGGAGUGUGUUCACGUUUACCUAGUUUUGAGACGCUGGUGCGGUUGAGUCAAACGAUUUGACCACGUCCGCGUUAGUGCGUUACCAACACGAGUCAAAGACAGAGCGAGGACGGCGUCAAAGGGCAACUAGCCGGCCGGCCGGCCGAGUGGUGGGGGUGGGGCGCACCUCCCACCUUCUUCGUAGGGCGGCUCUGUUCCAGCUCUUCCUCAACCAAUCCCCGUUUGGUUUCGUCUUGCACGCAGCGACUGGACCACACGUAGCGCCUCCCGCAGUGUCGCUCUAGGGCCGGCGCUGCCGUUACGCGCAGCCCAAGAAGCGACCAUCGGCUAUUCGGCUGUGCACCCACCAAAAAAAAAAUCGGGACGGGUCCGUGGGACUGUGGGAGAGCGUGCGCGAAAAAUCGCGAAGGCCACAGGAAGCAGCCCGCGUGCGCCGGCGCUGCCGCUGCCGCUGUGCGGCGCCGCGCCACGCCUCCGCGCUGCGAGCGCAUCGGCAUCGGGGACGCGUCCCAGCUGCGAGGAGGGGAUGUCGGGGAGCACGUCGUCCGGUAGCGCCGCCGCUACUACCGUCUCGAUGGACGCGCGCCCCGCGCGCGGCCUGGAGCCCUCCUGCAUCACCCCGGAAACAGCUCACGUGUUCCAGCACGAGCCCAGCCCAGCCACGUCCAUAUUUUUUUUUCCCGUAGUUGACUAGGCCUUUGCAAUUCCCAUGGCCUGAAGGGCCGAGACGACGUCCGUGUAAGCCCAUGUUGGCGGAGGUGUUGAUGGGCCGUAUAUAUACACGUUGAAAUCAAAAUUUAUUGGCUGUCAAAUCAUCUCAUCUGAACAGCCUUUGUGCGCUUGCUUUGCUCUCGUUCUGCGUGCAUGCAUGUCGACCAAGGAAAUUUUCGCUUCCGACUGACUAGGACAGCUAGAGAACCAUGGAGGGUUGCAGGAUCUGGACGCAAAUCGUGCUAUCCUCUAUUUGUAGCGUCACUGUACACUGUACAGGACAGUCCCCGAAUUCUCGAGCGAAACGGCCAUGCAUGUGCCCCUGGUACAGCGCCGGUUGCCGCCACGGCAUCGUAUUAACACCGCUUCAGUUCUUUGCUUCGAUUUUUCCUGUCCGGGGCCGCCAGGCGUGCUGAGUCAGGAGAGCAACCACCGCGCGAGCCGAGCAAACGGACAAACGAGCACUCGGAAAGCGGCCCGGCGCCGGUCAGAAGCAGACGAUUCUGUGCAAUUCCCUCCGUCUCCAGGAGUCCAGGGUAGCUGGAUAGGCCGGAUUGGCGAGACACACGACGCGGUGGGCAGGGGUGUGUGUGUGUGCGCGCGCGCCCCCCUCGUCGAAGGCCCCGUACACCGGGAUCACCGGGGGCUGAUGCCGCUGGAUGGCGAUAAGACGAGCAGCCGGCGAUGUUUGCUUCGGGUUCGAGUCAUGGCCAUUGCCCAAUCAUACUGCGAUAGGGUGCACGUACACGCGCAGGUUGAUCUGAUAAGGUAAACAUAAGAGUUGAGACAGGAAUCCAGGAGAGAGACGCUGCGGUCCUUUCGACGGGUCCCGUCGAAACUACAGUCGACAGACAGAGGUAAGGUCAUCCACAACAGUCCUAGCUAAUUGCUAGUCAGCACUAAAUAGCUAGCAGUCCAUGCAACUAUCUAUAUAGUGCUAGCUAUUUGUUAUUUUUAGUACUUUCAUGCACAGAGAGAGAAUGGAUGUGCUAGCGAUUUGGCGCAUCGUCGCGCAUGCGAGCUGAGCAACAAGCAAGUCGCCGGCUCAAAUAUUUUUACAUAUUCUCUUUCCUUCACAUAAGAUACAUGCUAAACUGUACACUCAAAUAGCUAACUGACUCAGCACCAUUACGGACGCCCUAAGAGCACAAGGCCCGCUGCUAGCCACAGGAAGCAGCCUCUGGGCUCUGUGGUCUGCGGCGCAUGGUGCCAUGUCAGCCAUGAUCACAUUCCAGCCGCGGCCAAUGAUCCUCCCGCGAUUUUCUAAUGCCAAUUAUAGAGAUCAGGCCUCGGAGCGCCGUACCCGUACCCGCUGCUUGCCGAGCCGGGCCCCGCCCGGCCGCCGCGACUCACGUCCGCGUCAGCGUCAUCCGCCAACGCGGCUGCGGCCGGCGCUCGCGUGGGAUAUUCCUCGGCGCGUCGGCCCGGCGCGGAUGCAUCCACCACCCGAGCUGGCCCCCCGCCCCGGCGGCGCGCCGAAACAAGAGCUGAGCCGGUAGCUCGCGUGUAGCCAAUCGGCGGGCGCCUCUGGCUUCAGGGAAGGGGGAGGGAAGCAAGAAGGGAGGGACCGUGCAUGUUGGCUGAGUUGGAGCUGACGCGCGCCGGUUGAUCUCGUCUCGUGAUCGCGUCCGGGGGAUCCGACAGGAUCCACGGCGCGGGCAUACGGAUAGAUGCGGGUACGUGACAGGCGGCAGAAAACCGGCGAGGGACGGAGGCAGCGGCAGCCGCUGGUUGGCUAGCUAGGCUGGUGUGAUGCGGUCGUCGUGCCGUGCGCAUCUGCCAUUGGGAUCGAUCGAGGCUUCCACGAACCAAGAACGUAUCCUGCGGUACCCGCGCUCCAUGUGCGUGCACGGCGCGACGUUUCCUUCCUUUUUUUUUUUGCCCAACUACUUGCCGGUAGACAACUUAUACUUACAAUGAUCAAGCUAAGUAGCAGUGCAAUUUUUCACAACCACCGAUUCUACAAUGAUCAAACGUUAUGUAUUCUCGAUCGACCACCGAUUUAUAUAUACAACGAUCAACUAUAAGUAUUUCCUCCGUAUCAAAUUAUAGGUUAUUUUUUAUCUCUAAUUUCAUAGUAUUUAUUUUAUACACCUAGAUAUAUAUUAUAUCUGGAUACAUAAGUAAAAGUAAUGAAUCUAGAAAUAUUAAAAUGAUCUACAAUUUGCUGUGAUCAAGCAUAUAUACCGUGUGUGUUACCGUUGAUCAAAGUAUGUGCUACGUAGCUUUCGCAGUGUCGUCCCAAACUAGACGCAAGGAGCGCGACAAGUCCAAAAUCCAGCUAUUCCCCGCCACGCUUCCAUGGAUCUCCGUACCAAUUAUGCAACCUUUUUGGCCCCACAAGGUAGUACACGUCACCGCCAACGAUACGGAGCGCGACUGGUUUAGCUUGCAUGGACCCGUCCCAUUCCAUGUGCCGUGGUGCACUGUUGGCGGUCGUAGCGUGCAGUCCCAGAGGACACAGGCGAGCAUCCACCAGAAGCGCGUCGAGCGGUAAGUGAACGCUAGAUUGGCAGGUAUCAUGCGCUAGCUGUUAGUUGCUGCUGCUGCUGGAUAAUUCUGUAAAAAUUUUUACCUCAUGGAGUAAAGCUGGUCGAUUGACACCUAAAACUGACAGGCUGUUCUUCGUUCAGACGAGAUCUCGAAAGCUAUAGCUAGCCCAGCUAAAACACCCACCCUGAACUUGUGAACUUUCCGUUUUCAAACACACACACCUCUAAAACAACCGUGGAUGGAUUAGCUACCGCAACAAAACAAACGAGGGGUGUUUGAUUCUUUAGUCCAGACUAAAUUUAUGUCACAUCGAAUAUUCAGAUGUUAAUUAGGAAAAUUAAACGUGACCUAAUUAUAAAACUAAUUAAUGGAGGCUAAUUCACGAAACGAAUCUAUUAAGCCUAAUUAAUUCAUCAUUAGCACAUGUUUACGGUAGCACCAUAUUAUCAAAUCAUGAACUAAUUAGGUUUAAUAGAUUCGUCUCGCAAAUUAGUCUCCAUCUGUGCAAUUGGUUUUAUAAUUAAUCUACGUUUAAUACUCCUAAUUAGUAUCAAACAUUCGAUGUGAUAGAAAUUUUAGGAGAUCCUAGAAAACCAAACACCCCCUGAAAUAUCCUGGGCACACCGGCAGAGCUCUGUGAGUCCAGGCCAAUCGAUGAGUCGGCUAGGGGAAUUGCGAGACAAAGCGCACGCAGUUGAUGACCUGGCAAACCGGCACGUGCGCGGCACGCAAUAAAAAAGUCGCAUGAUUAGGCGGAUGAUCUGGCGAUAAGCAUAGAAUAAACAGAGCACUACUGCUAGCGGUCGUCAAUGUUGUUUGCUGGUGAUCACGCAAGUGGGAUUAUAAAAUCAGAGUAAAUUGAUCGCGGCGCUCAUAUUAGAGUAAAUCAGAGUAUGUAGGAAAACACCAGGAUCAUACUCUGAAUCAAAUGGGAGCUGGAUGGACUAGGACAAGUUAAUGCGUAAAGUUUUAAAAUAAAUCCUAAUUACUCUUAAAUAGAUGAUAUUUAUAUAGACGGCCAGUCAAACUUUACAUACCUUCUGAAGACGGAGCAUGAGUCUCGUGUACAUACCACUACUCUAACCUUCUUUUGAAUUCGAAACUUGGGCACAAAUUCAAAUUGAUAGGAACAGGGGGGACAUCAAUUAAGUUCUAUAUAUGCUGUUCUCAAACUUUUUAUAUAUCUUAACGACUAAUGUCAUGCACGCAACAGAUAUUUAAAAACUGUAAUAUGAAAAAUAAAUCGGACGGUUUUCUCGUAGUUAUACUCUUUCACAACUAUAAUUGACAAAGAUGAGUGUUCUUAUGCUUGUAAUUUGUCAGAACGGCUACUAGGUCCGGGGGGCGCAUGUGCUUGUGGUGGUGCGCCGCAAUCUUCAGUUACCAGGACGCGGACCCAUAAAUGAUAAAAACCACUCCAGUGAUCCAGGGGGUUGUGUCCAGGCUGCAGCAACGUACAGACAGAACUGGCAACAGAAGGCGAAAUAGCACAUCCGACCCUGCCAGGUAGGAAAAUCACAGGCCAACACCCCUGAAGAGGCAAGCUGCGACGGCGCUUCCCAUAUAAAUACCCGCCUCCGGCAUCGUCUCCAACCCGCAACUCACGAGCAGCAAAAGAGCACAGGCAAAACCACGCAUACACACACUGCCGUGGCAAUGGCCGCCGACACGGACACCACCGCCCCGCUCCUGACGAGCCACAAGCCGCCCAAGGCGCCCACCAUCGAUGACACCAUCGAGAAUUACAUGGGCACCACCGGCGUGAUGCAGCUGUUCAAGGCCAUCCUGCUGGCAUUCGCCUGGGCCUUCGACGCGCAGCAGGUGUUCAUCUCCGUGUUCACGGACGCCGAACCGCAGUGGCACUGCACCGGAGCCUCGCCGUCCUGCUCGCCGGCGGCGCCCCCGGCCUCGCCGUGCUGGCUCCCGCCGGGCGCGUGGGCGUGGGACCGCCCCGCCGACUCGACGAUGGUCUCGGAGUGGGCGCUCAAGUGCGCCGGCCCGGCGCUCGUGUCGCUCCCGGCGUCGUCCUUCUUCGCCGGCUGCCUGGCCGGCGGGUUCCUGCUCACCACGCUCGCGGACUCGCUCCUGGGGCGCCGGAAGAUGCUGCUCACGUCCCUCGUGUCCAUGUCCGUCGCCGGCGUGCUCACCGCGUUCGCGCCGAACGUGUGGGCGUACGCCGCGCUGCGGUUCGUGUCCGGGUUCGGCCGGUCCAUGGUGGGCACGUGCACGCUGGUCCUGUCCACGGAGCUCGUCGGCAAGCGGUGGCGCGACACGGUGAGCGUGGCCGGCUUCUUCUUCUUCACCGUCGGGUUCCUGUCGCUCCCGGCGCUCGGCUUCGCGUUCCGGGAGGCGUCGUGGCGGAACAUGUACCUGUGGACGUCCGUGCCGUCGCUCUGCUACUCCGUCCUGCUCUACUUCCUCGCCCAGGAGUCGCCGCGGUGGCUGCUGGUGCGCGGGCGUAAGCAGGACGCCAUGGACACGCUGCAGCAGAUCGCGUCGCUCAAUGGCAACAGCAUCACGUCCAGCUUCUCCAUGCUGCACGCGUGCACCAUGCGCGCGGACGGCGGGGACGCCGGCGGCGGCGCCGGUGGCGCGUUCGCCACGAUGCGGGCGUUCUGGGAGCGGCCGUGGGCGCUCCGGAGGCUGGCGGCGAUCAUGACGACCAGCUUCGGCGUCGGCAUGGUCUACUACGGCAUGCCGCUCAACGUCGGCAGCCUGGGAACCAACCUGUACCUGAGCGUCACGUACAACGCGAUGGCCGAGCUGCCGUCGGCCGUCCUGUCGCUGGCAUUCAUCGGCAAGGUCAACCGGCGGACCACGGUGAUCGCGCUCACCGCGGCGGCGGGCGCCUUCAGCCUCAUGUGCGUCGCCAUCCCGGAGGGCUCGGCGGCGCGGAUGGCGUCCGAGCUGCUCUCCUUCUUCGCGACCAUCACGGCGUUCAACCUCAUCCUGAUCUACUCCAUCGAGCUGUUCCCGACGUCCGUGCGCAACUCGGCGGUGGGGCUGGUGCGGCAGGCGCUGGUGCUCGGCGGCGUGGCGGCGCCCGUGCUCGUGGCGCUCGGCCGGGAGCGGAGCUUCUAUUCCUUCGGCGUGUUCGGGCUCUGCAUCGGGUGCUUCGGGCUCUUCGCCGCCUGCCUACCGGAGACGAAGGGCCGGAGCAUGUCGGACACCAUGGAGGAGGAGGAGCACAAGCAGGAGGCCGCCGCAGCCACGUCUUGCACCGGCGGCGCAACCGACAUUGCCACGAAGGAUAACAGCGACGUCGUGUAGUGUGACGACGCUCGUGUUCGUUUCACGACGCGGCAAUAAUUGUUGCUCUGAUGACGAUAUUUCGGCGGCGAGGAUAGCUAGAUCUGCUCUGCAGGUCAAGCACCAAGCUGUCACCCCUGCCCCCGUCCAAUCGUGUAAAGCUUGCCGCCAAGUUGCUUGCAUAUAAAUUCUGUUUCAAAAACUCGUCAAGUCCGCAAGUUGAAGUCUUACCAAAGUAGCGCCCCGGCCCACAUCAUCCUCUCAAGCAGAUCUCGAUCGAUGCCUAUCGGUAGAGCACAUUCAAAUUCUAUCAACAAAUAUAAAGUAUUCUAUCCACACUAGGAGAACCCAAAUUAAUUCUCUAACAAAUACUCCAUUUGAAAUUACUAGUCAUUCCAACUUUUUUGGAAAGUCAAAACGUCUGAUCAAAUUCAUGCAAUAAAGUACUAAUAUUUAUGAUAUCAGAUAAGUACAAUUAAUUUUUUCAUUAAAUAUAUUCUCAUCGUAUAUAUUUAUUCGGUGACAUAAAUCUUGGUGACCCUCUCUAUAAUUUUAUUCUUUCCAAAAAAAGUUAGAAUGAUUUAUAAUUUUGAACGGAGGGAGUAUAAGGUAAGAAAUCUCAUUAAUCGUCCAGCAAACAUAUCGCUUGACUUGCAAACUUAUCGCAAAUUAAUAGUACUCCAAACCUAUCUAGCAAUCGCUUGACUUGCACCAACCAAACCUAUCUAGCAGCUUUAAUGAGGGCUACACGCGUCUUCUAUCUGGCUUAAACUUUUCAUCCGUGAACGGAGAGAGUAGAUCGACAAAGUCAAUAUAAAACUUCCACAUGAAGUUGCAGCUUUUAUAGAAACUGUAAAAUUGACAUAAUCUUUUAUAGAAACUUCCACAUGGGACCCAGGCCUUAUUUGUCCUCUACCUUAACAUUCUCUAGGAGCAGCAUGGUUUGCUUAAGGAUUAGGCACCCUACUAAAACGACUCUGCCCCUGCCAUUUCCUAGGCUUCCUUGGUUGCGGCACUUUCGUUUUUCGUUGCUCACCUUGGCACUUUUCCUUCCUGCUGCACUUAUUCGACGCCGUUGAGCCCACGCCGCUACCUAUGCCUUCUCCCUUAACUCCGACGAGUUUCUUCUCUGCGACCGUACUGUAGUCCGAUCUGUAUUCCUCAUCUUUGGAGGCUCGUUGUCACCGCCGGAUCCAUUGCUACAUUAACCCAUGCAUCUCCGACAGGUUGCUUCUUUGCCUCUCAGAGAAUUUUUUUUUGAUAAAGUCCUCUCAGAGAAUGUUAGAGGUCUCCACAACACUUGAAUGUCUUUUUAUUUAGUUUUUCCAAUUUUCUUGAAGUGCCAUGCCAAAAAAAAAUCACGAGUGACCCAGCACGUUAGGUUCGUCAUGGGACAGUAGAAAGAGAAACACGAGUGCAAAAGGGUAGUAGACUUCAAGAUCUAGAGGCUCCCCUCAGGGCCGGGAGAGAUAAUAGGCUCCCCCCAGGGCCGGGAGACAGCAAAAGGGUGUGAAUCAAUGCAAGUUUGUCCAUCCUACGCGGCUUCGCUAGAUGGGUACGAUCGGAUGAGCCAAAUAAAGCCAGAACUAUUUCUCCCAUUAGGGCAUUAUAGUCAUUUUGCAUGCAUGGUUUGAAUUUAAGUAAAUCAGCAAGCUAAAUAGUAUACCCAGAUGGCGGCAGUAGUUAGGAUAUGAUAUUUAUGAACUAGGUGGCAGUUACUUAUGCAUUUCGAAAUGAACGACGACUUUCAAGCAGGCCCUGGAUCAAUUCAGACUUGGUUUUGUAUUCAAAUUAUUUGAACUUUUUUUUCCUUUUCUACAUAUACAGCCCCUUUUUCGUGGUUUCAUUUUGAACUAUCUUCAUGGAUUAUUAUAUUGUCACGCAGUCAAGACUUGUGGUUUGCACUUUUACCUUUUAUAUGGCCCCACCAGUUUUCCUCUUCCGAAUGAGCUUAAGAACCUCAUAUCUUUGGACCAGUGUCCACGCGGACCACAUCACGGAGAGUAAGAGACUGCUUGAGUCUGAGAGGUACACAACGGUUGAAGGGGGUGUCAUUGGUCUCUAAUGCUCUCAGCUGUCAUCUAGUAUACAUGGAGCUGUCCCCGCGUUAUUUUAUGCUGCGGCUGACUCAGUGGUGACCGGUGAUGCCAAAGAAGUCGGUCGGGAUCCCCAAUGCCAAAGGAAUCGGUCGAGAAGCACAUUUCAAUCUGUUAUGGAUCAGCACAACAGCUCGCAUGACGAUGCUGCUGGCCCAACAGUACAAUAGGAAUGCGUGAUUAGCAUUCUAGCUAGUGCUAACUAGCCUAUCAUGCUUUAGCAGGUGCCCGGAACAUGGUGCUCUGCUCAUACAUGAUGCUUGUGCCGUGUGGUGGCAUUUUGCCAAAGUUCACAAUCGCAUCCUUUCUCCUGUGUUGCCAUGGUACCAUGUGGGUGUACAGGUGCUUGUGCCAUGAGGCAUCCGUCCCUUGACUUUUUCGCAUUGCAUUCAGCGUAUUUCUUCAGGCUUGCUUGCAAAGAAAAUACCUCGUCAGGGUGGUUUAUUUUUGCGGUGACGGUGAUCAAAUAAAGUUGUGUCGUAGAGAUCGGAAAAACCAGAAACAAGUACGAAAGGACAGAGGAGUUAGAUCAUCUUUUGGGCAAGAUGUACCCAAGAGGAAGCCGUCACAAGCCUACACCGCUUGUUUGGAGGAUAGAGCAUGUGAGGUUGUGGCCGUCGCUAUGCAAGAGAGAAGAAUGAAGAAUCGCCUACGUUUGUUGUCAUCAUUAGAAUUUUCAUAGCAAAUAGCCUCGUAUAUGGAAUAUAGCACUAAAGCUUAUUAGCGUUUAUUUCACAAGAAAUGACAUUUUUCUUCAAUCUCCUUUUUUCCGGCAAUAUCUAAAAUCUUAGAUGGUAUAGCAUCGGACGACUUAUAAUACAACGGCAUGCAAACCAUGGAUACUAGUAGACUAGCUGUCUAGCUAGGCAGGAACUUUGGACUCGGUUGUACUACCGACAUAUAUGCAUGACGAGCAUCAAGGUACCACAGCAGAUCUGGGAGUACAAUCAUGCACGCAUAAUAUCUCGAUGACGUGUGAUUGUGUGAAUGAUUAAACAAACCAUGAAGUGACAAAAACUGGUAGCCGCUUUUUGGGUCAGGGAUGACACAGCCUUCCAGAUCGACUGGGACCCUCCGCUGCCCUCUAUUCUGUCGCAUUGUCCGGACUGACCCUGUCUUGCGAACCCUGGCGUCGUCUGCCAUCCCAUCAAACGCACUACUGCCCUGUACAACUAUACGACCUGCACGAUCAGGUUUGGGCGUCCUGCGUCGCAACUUUUGUUCAGAAGCGUCGCUUAGCACACGGUCUCGCCGUCGCGGACGGUGCUGCCGGUCGGGCCGGGGCGCCAUUGUCAGCGGCGCGCGCACUUCGUUGCUCGGUCGAUCACGCGCCUGCAGUUUUGAUCGGUUCCAAGAGUUUUUCUUCUGAAGUCAAGAGUCGCUUUAUUCCACCACAAGUUAGCUUGAUCGCGAACUACCAAGCUAGCUAGUUACAGUGAUCAUGAGCACAAAAUUACAAGAGCAUGGAGCUCACCAAAUAUCAAACGAGGAAAAAAAAACAGGUAUAGAGCAGGUCCCAGACUUCUCUGAAGAAGAUUACUCCUGCUGGGCCUCGAUCAAGCCUGUUGGAUUUCAGUGCAUCCACCAGCGCAUUUGGGGAGGUUCCCAGAAACUCAGAGAGGGCGAUGUACAUGGGCCUGGGUUGAGUCAGCUUUCAGAUUACUCCAGUUGUGUUGCUCAUGGCUUGGGUUCCGAGCCAGGCAGCCAGCGUUCUUCGCCUCCCCGUUUGCGACGUUGUGUUCAACGGCGGCCCCCUACACGGGACCCACUUCACAGUAAAAAAAAAACUGAACUCCCAGCGACCCUCGCGCGAACAGAAGGAAAAAUUCGCACGGUGCGAGCCGCGCCACUGCCGGCCGGUGCCAUGGACGUUGCGGCGUCGACGUGGAGGGCUGCGCAAGUCCGGCGAGAGGUGAAAGGCGGAGCACAUUGGGGGAGAGCGCACCGCACCGAGCUGCGGCCGCCUCAUCGGAGCCGCCCUAAGGAUAGCCUUCCGCGCCGAGCCGUUGGAGCCGUCCUGGAUAUGACCUCCCACGCCAAGUCGCAGCUCCGCCUCGUCGGCCUUCAGGCGAGCAUCUGCCUCGACCUGUACAUCGAUCAUGUCAUGUGAUCAGCAACAGCCGAAGGUAAAUUAUCCGGAUCAUAAGAAAUUAAAAGUACAACAGCAGGAGCAUUCUUACCUCGGAACCUUCCCUUCGUAAAUUUGGAAUAAGGACAAUACCUCGCACAAGCAUCGCUUUCAGGAUUAGGAUUAUGGUAGUGAAAAAAAAAGGUGGAUGUAUUUUCUUUAACCAAUCGUUACUGUCUUAUCAAACGUCAUUUUCAAAUUGUUUGCACUGUUGUGUUCCUUAUAAUGAGAUAUACGAAAUAAGAUCCACAUUCUGUAUAACAACUCAUGUAUGAAACUAUACACACUAAGAGAUAAUUUUUAUAGAUACAUUGUAAUAGCUUAUGUGUAAGCAAUGUAUCAAGCUUAUAUAGAGAUUAUUAUAUAGCAACUUAUAUUAUUUCUACUUGUCGAGUAAUAAAUUUAUGUACAGAUAAAUGUACAAAGGACUAUAACAACUUGUUUGCAAGCAAUAUAGCACCUUAUGCAGUAUGUAUGGUAUUAACUUAUAUAAUGACGAUGUGGCAACUUACAUAGACUCUUCAGAUAACUAAGCAACAUGAGUGUAAAAUCUGUUUUUAGCAAUUUAUGUACAUAAUUUGUUAAGAGGUUUACACAUAAGUCGCUAUAUACUUAUCCAUAGGUAAAUAAUAUACAUUCGAUAUAAAUUACAAGUACAUAAAAAAUACUCCAAAACAUAUGCAUCAUGAGUCUUAUUUUGUAAAUUUUACUAUAAGAAAUGUACCGUGAAGACGGAAUUGAAAAUAGUCACUCUAUUAAAGAGUUAUCGCAAGAGACGAAACAAAAAUAAAAACGGAUGGGCUAUAGCAGGCCACCUCCAUCUUGCCAGAUCACAAUAGGCCGUAUAUGUCAUGAGCUUAGGUGCUGGUGCGACCCCGCACGCAAUAGUUAUUUACAAAGCUGAAUGCUCGAGAAGACAUGUGCUUCUAUGAUAGAGCAAGUCGUUCCACGUCAAAUGACGACGACGACCCAAGACAUGGCCUUGGUCCAACUCCGCAAGUUUUAUGGCCCCAGCCCACCAGACAAGCCACUUCAGUUGUCUUGCUCAGAUUUUAGAACGGCAGCUGCUUGGCGCGUGGCCCGACGCAGGAAGUUAUCUCUCGCUGCCUCGACCCUCUCGCGAGCAAGAAUUAAGAAUCGGUGUGGGCAAGAAACACACCCAAUUCUUGAUUCAAUGCUCUCUCCCUCUUCCUCCAGCGCGGGGUAAAUUUCCAGAUGGUUCGUGCGGCUGCAUAGCUGCAUAUGGUGCGGGAUAUACUGAAAGUGCAUUUGGCCCCCCUAAGUGGGUUUUGAUGUUGACGACAUGCAUAGUUAAGGGAGUAAUGAUUUUAUCAAGUAAUUCACAGGUUUAAAUCCUAAGAAGUGCAGAGGUGUAAGAAAAGAACCCCAAUUUGAUUGAAGAACGGUGUUGGAGCAUAAAACAAGACCUUUUUAUACUUUCUAUUUUUGAAAUUGAGUAUAGGAAUACCGUACUAUAAAGGGGGACACGGAUGGAUAGCUUGAAGAUGUCAAAGUGCUUGUUUGAGAUGCUAACCACCCAUGAGACACACCACUCACACACUUGCACAUUUAAUUUCUCAUAGUUUCUGUGAGUGUCGGAAGUUCUGACAUGGGAUCGGAAGAAAACUUCCGACAGGGGGUGCUCAGCGGAUUUAAUUUAACAGAGUCAGAAGUUCUGACCUUGUGUUGGAAGUUCUGAUAAAAGGCACCAGAAUUUUCCAGUAACUUCAGGCAAGGUUCCCAACCGUUUUCUUUGCACUGUGUCAGAAAUUCCAACGCAGUGUCGGAAGUUCCGACAAUGAAUUAACAGCAGUGCAACAGCUAGUUUUUGGGGCUCGGGUAUUUAUACCCCCUCAGCCCCCAUUCAUUUGCUGCUAACCUAACCUGAGACAAACACCCUCUUGAGCAUUCAAUACUCGUCCCCACUCCCUCCUUGAGCUAAAUCUUUAAGAGUUUUGAGCUAGGACUUGGUUGAGAGAAGGAUUGGAGGUGUGAGACUUGAGGCUUUGAGUGUGAGGUUCUACAAGUUCAUCUUAAGAGCACUUAAAGUAUCUUCGGUCUAUGAUUCAUGUUUGUUACUCUUGAAGCUUGCUUCUAGAUGGUUUGGCAUCACCCGUUUGAGCGCUCUCUUUGUGUGGUGCACCCGGGAAGUUUGUAUCACCCAUCCUCUUUCUGACGAUUCAUAGUAAGUGACUCAAUCAUCAUUUGUGGUUGAUUGAGAGAGGUAAAGGGUUAUUGAGGACCCGGCUCUUUGUGAGCUCCUCAACGGAGACGUAGCUUCCUUUGUGGAAGUGAACUUCAGUAAACAAAUCCUUUAUCUCGUGUGCUUGUUGUGUUCCUCUAGUUCUUAUUAACCUAGAAGCUUCUUUUGUGCCGAUCUAUAUAUUUGUGAAGUUCCUCUUAUAUAUAUCACCUGCAGUAGUCUCUAUUCAUCACUUCUAAUCUUUUGAUUCAAAUAGAAUUGGCAGAUUCAAGUUUUAUUUUGAGUUUCGUUCAGCUCAUUUCCUGUCGUCGGAAGUUCCGCCCCUGUACCGAAAAUUCCGACCCUAUCGGAAGUUUCGGCACAGUGUCGGAAGUUUCGACGUAUCUAAUACCGCUGCGAAGUUUUUUUUUGAAAAAUUUUAAAUUGAGCCUAUUCACCCCCUCUAGGCAUCAUAAGAUCCUUAAAUAUACCACUCCACUGGGACAACAAAACCACCAUCUCCUUGAGGGUCUGCCACCACAUCAUUUCUAACAUCGUUCGGAGGGUCCAUGCUGUCAAGGGUGCCAACGACGAGGCCAGACUCAUCCUUCGUGGUGCCUACAGUAACUAGUGGUGGAUAUAGGAUUUAGAAAUAGGUGUAUAUAAUAUCAUAUUUUCUUUCUAUAUACAUAUAUUAUUUCUAAUCAAACUUAUACAAUUUUUAAAUGAAAAUAAAGUUUUUUUUAACUAUUCAUCAAUAAACUAAUAGCCCUAAAAACAAAAAA
Molecule: long non-coding RNA, 55576 nt
Filed under: Setaria viridis
Lineage: Eukaryota; Viridiplantae; Streptophyta; Magnoliopsida; Poales; Poaceae
Description: long non-coding RNA (SVIR_LNC002425)
Source: RNAcentral